Molecule: long non-coding RNA, 59074 nt
Filed under: Capsicum annuum
Lineage: Eukaryota; Viridiplantae; Streptophyta; Magnoliopsida; Solanales; Solanaceae
Description: long non-coding RNA (CANN_LNC018117)
Source: RNAcentral
GACAACAAUACAAUUAAGGGGGAGGGCACAACAAUAUACAUACACUCACAGGAUUCCAUCAUCUUUCAUUUUUUGAUGACAAUAUACACACACACGUAAGAUGUACAGAGCUUCCUCACCAUUUCGUCUCUCAAUACAUACAAACACCUCAUACACGCACAUACCCCUCAAUUCACCAAUACACAGUUCCCACAGCCCACAUUACACAGAUUACACUCGCAGUAAUUCUCACACACACACACUGAAAAUUGGAGGGAGAUUGAGAGUGAAGAGAGAGAUUGAGAAAGACAGUGAUUGGAAAUCUGAGAGGAGAGAGGAAACAGACGUCGAAUGACACUAUUUCGGCGAGAACCCGCCAAAAAAGGUUGAAAACUCGGCUGAUUCACCAAUUCCCAUCGCUACUAGAGCUCACUGAAGCUCCGGCAAAAUAAUAACAACAAAACAUCCCUCUCCCGUCCCCGUCUUCGGUAAAUUCAUCGGAGAACAAAUUCCAAAUCUACCUGACCAGUCCCAGAUUCGGCGGAAAUUGUCAAAAAAUGAACGAAGCAGUAGUGGGGUGUGCAAAUUCGAGUACGGGUCUUUUGUUAUUUUCUUGAUUUUGAUCUAGGUUGGCGAAAAACAGAGAAAAAGGGUAUAUCGUGGUCGGGUUUAUUAGUGGAGGUUUGAAUUGAGGUUUUUCGGGCGCGCUUCUAUCUUCGAUAUAUCAAAAUCGACAAUUGAGGUCCAAUUCUUCUCUUUUCCUCUUUUUAUUUCAUUGUUUAUUAUAUUUGGUGUGUUGGAUUAAAUAUCAUGUGUUGUUUGAUCCUUGUUGGUGAUGAAUAGUGUCUUGGUAUCGAUUGAUUGUUGAUUUCGUUGAUUAUGUAUGAUGCGAUGAAACGAUAUAAUCACUUGAGAUUUGAAAUCUGUAAUUUGAGUAUAGAAUUGGGGGUGGGAAUUAAAAGAUUAAUAAGGUGCAUGUUGAUUAUUUUUAUUCAUUGAUGGAUAUGGUUGAAAUCGAUAGUAUCAUAUUUUAGAUCGUUUAAUGGGUAGACAAAUACUAAGUUUGGGUAGGCAAAUUAUAGAAAUAGAAGAUGAUGAUUUGUUGAAUGUGUGGAUGUCUUGUUGAAUGGUUCUUUCUAUUUUCAACGCACAAAAUUGAAAAAAUGUAUUCAUUUGACCGGAGAAUGCACCGAGGUCUUAUGUACUUAUUCAUUGGGGAAUACCUCAAAGCAUCUUGUACUCGAAGAGCAUUCGUGAUGAAGGUCCGAGGCAUUGGGUAAAGCAUAGAAAUGUAGUUUAGGAUUAGUAAGUAGGUUUACAUUUCCAUAUUUUUCUAUUUUUGGAACUGUAAUAAUUGGGAUGAAAACUAUAUACUUGUUUUGUUUUGUUUAUUUGAUUGAUUGUUUUGUGUGUUUUAUGUAAUUUAUACAUUCAUAGUGUCAAAUUAGCCGAUAUGCUCCACCAAACGAAUAUGGUCGAACCACGGGAUCGAGGGGUGCCUAACACCUUUCCCUCGGUCAACAGAAUUCCUUAAUCGAAAUCUCUAUUCGUGGAUCAGUUUUAAAGAGUCAAAAUCAUUUUCAAAAAGGAUAUCCAAGGGUGACUUGGCACAGCCGAUUUAUGCCAAGUGCCGACUCUGAGUUUUGAAUAUAAAAAGUUAUUUUCGAAACAAAUCUUCAUUUUGUCACUUAAUAAUAAAACCCUUUUUCAAACCUUAAAUUAAUUCUUUUUUGUUAAUAAAAGGGUGUGACUGCUCUGGCGACUCUGCUGGGGACAUUUUCAGUAGUCGAGCUUAUUUUUGAUAUUGUAUCGGCUUAGUUUAACAUUAUGAUUGUAUAGACGUUGUUUGCGAUAUUGUUUGUACACCCUCCAUCCCAAAUUAUAUGUCGCCAUUUUCUUUUCGGUCCGUCCCAAAAAGAAUGUCGCCUUUCCUUAUUAGGUAAGUUCUUAAAGACACAAUUACAAUUUUACCCUUAGUGGUCCUACUUGAUUUUAAAUACUAUUACUCAUUUUUUAUUUGUUUUUUCAAUUAAAAGUGGCCCAGCUUGAUUUUAAAUACUAUUACUAUAAUUUUGUAACUUUAACAAAGUCAACACUUAUUUCUUAAAUAUUGUGUCCGGUCAAAUAACGACAUAUAACUUGAGAUGGAGGGAGUAUUUAUUUUAUCAUUGUUAAUUGCCUACUUGCUACGUUUUUAUAGUUUUUACUCUUAUGUGUUACCGCUUUAUAUCUGACAUCAUUUGUAUAACCCGAGUCAAUUUUUUCUGCAACAAGUCUCGGAGUACACGUUGUGUACACGAACUCUAGUUGAGUCACCCUUAUUGUAGGAGGGGGACCCGUCAGAUGUAUGGAGUAGGUGGAAAGCAAAGCAACCACUAUUGACCAUAUGCUCCUUGAACGUCCUUGUCAGUGGACCCCAACGUAGGUCAGCCUUUAGAUCAUGCUUAUCUACAUCAUAUUGAGACCUAGCGGGACCUACUUGAUCCUUUGUAAGAGACUCGCCCAUAAAGCAUCUCUACGUGCUAAUUGUUGCAUCUUUGAGGGUAAUAUGAUCAUUUGAUGGACUGGUUUAGGGAAAACAUGUGUUAGAAUUAAAGGAGCGUGUGUUACGCAAGGAAAAAGAAAAGAAAAAAAAGAGUUUAGGAGUUUUUUUAGUGACCUUUAUGGCUUUUGUUUUUCACAAUUCAAAAAUUCAAAAAGACUUUUUACCUUUUGCACUCAUUUACUCAAAAAACAAAAUAUCAAAAAGAUUUUGCCUUUGUUUCUUUCUUUUAGCAAGCAUUCAUAAUUUGAAAAUUUCAAAAAAGAUUUUUUUUUUUGGAGUUAUUUUUUAUAAAGGAAAAAUUCAAAAAAAAUGAUAGAAGUUUUGUACAUUUCAUGUAACGAAAUACAAAAAGUUUUUUCUUUCAUAAUUGUUGGUGUCAAUCUUAUGUGAAGUGUCCAAUUGAACCCCCCCCCCCCCCCAAAAAAAAAAGAUUUUAUUGACAUUUUUUAUCAUCCAUCUUUGGUCAUGUCUAUCAAGUAAAGGUUCAGUUUGUUGUUUAAUCCUUAAUUAUCCAAUCUGGACGAAUUACACAUACCUGAUUCUUCUCUCUCGGGGCUGACAUACGUAGGCACCCCUUCCAGGGUUCAGUAAUCUUAUUUACAAAAACCACAAAAAGAUUUUUCUUUAAUUGUUUCAAGUUUAUUUUCGUAUGAAAUUCAAAAUUGAAACCCUAAAAAGGAUUCUUCUUUGGUAAUUAGAGGUUUCGUUUUGUAUAGAAAUCUGAAAAAAUUCAAAAAAAAUUUAUUCACUCUUCAUUUAGAGUAGGUAUCAUAUACAUCUCUAAAAGAAAACGACAAAAGAUUUUCUUUUAAUAGUUUCAAGUUUCAUUUUCGUAUGAAAUUCAAAAUUGAAAACUCAGAACGAGUUUCCUUUGGUGACCAUAAGUUUCAUUUUGUAUAGGAAGCUGAAAAAUUCAAAAAGAUUUUCGUCAAUUCUAUUGGCAAUUUGUUAUUUUCUUUUCUUCUUAAAGUUUCAAGAAAAAGAAAAAAAGAAAGAGAGUUGAUCGGUCGUUUUGUGGCCAAAUUUCAUGAACUACACACACCUGAUUUUACUCUCUCGGGAGUGAGAUAUGUAGGCGCCCUUCUUGGGUUCGGUGAUCUUUUUAAAAAAAAAAGAAAGAAAAAGAUUUUUAAAAAAGAUGUUGAACUCCAACACAUUUGUUAUCUCUUGUUCAGUUAGUUUAAGGUGGUUGGUUUGUGGCAUUUUGAUUGGUCCUCCAUAUCACACCAAGUCUAAGGGAGAGUUAGUCAUGUCCAACAAGGAUAUAGAGAGUGACAUCAUGGAUCAGACGAAGGGUAAAAAAAUGAGAGUUUAAAGGAAGAGAUUUUGAGACUAAGGUAACAAAUGAUAGAAAUACACCGAUCUUGGGCCAGUGGGUUGCCUUCCUACUAUCGUUGAUGCACCACAACAUGCCUCGAAAUUCAUGACAUGUCAGCUGCAUCCCAAUACUUCCACCACCUCUUCUCUAUCUCCUCAAUAUAAGCCUACUAUAUUCGCAACACCAUAUGUCGUCUGUGAUUUGUUGCUCAACCCUCUAUUGAGGCUUCCACAUUGGCUAUCCGUCCAAUGAUUGUGGUUUCCCAGGCCACUAGUGAACCCAUGUUCAAUACUCUUGAUAAUCAUUUCUAUACUUAUUAGCCACUUUUAAGUUAACUGGACCACCAAAAUUUCUUACCAAGAAGUCCGACAUGGCAGAAGAGCAAAUGGUUUGGAAAAUGAAGGGUAUAGAAAAUACUAUGAAAAGUUCCCUAGGACUCGUAGAUAAAGAAGAUGUUUCAUAUAAAUAUUGAGGCAUGUCUUCAAGUUUCAACCUUUUUCAAAGAUUUUAGAUAUUGAAAUUUGAAGAACAUGAUGGACAUUAGGAUUCUGUGAAACAUUUGGUACGAUACUGCAAUAAAUCAAAGGAAGCUGAAGGGAAAAAGAAGGAAGACGUACCUAUUGUCGUGCCAGGGCCAAAGCAGAGAUUGAGAGGUCCAACUCACUAAUACUGUCAGCAUCAAUCCCUAUCUUACUUAUUAGAUCCACAUACUCACCUACAACACGGUUUCUCAUUCCAAAAUCCAAGAUAUUCUACUUUACUUCCUCAAUAUCCUUUGAAAAAUGCACAAUUGUAUACUCGUCUGUUAUCUUAUCCACAAUGGCAAGCACCGAUCCCUCAACAUCAUCCUCAGCCCCCCCAUAUAUUUACCAAGGUGCCUCUAAAUCCAAGUUUCAACCAAGGCUAGAGUUUUUAAAGAGGAUGAAGGAAAGGGGUAAUUUCACUCAUAUUGGGGAAUCCUAUGCCAGUUUGUUCCAUAGAUUGAGAUAGUGGGGCUUGAUUACUCCUCUCCUUAGGUAUACACUCGACUCACAUUCAAGAAAUUUUGACCCUAAUGUAUGGUGCGAAUAUCAUUCUGAUGUCUAGGGUCAUAAUAUUAAAGAUUGUCGUAAUUUGAAAAGAGAAAUAGAAAAGAUGAUUCAAGAAAAGUGAUUGUUGCAAAAUGUUGACACCUCGAGCGUUACACAGAAUCCUUCAUCAACACAUGGUGAUGCACAGUACGUGGGAAGUAAUGAGUUGGGCAUGAGGAUCCAAAACUUAUUUGUUGAGGGAAAUGUGUUUGAUGGUGAUGAAAGCUCUAAUCAUGAUGUGCAAAUCAAUGGCUAAGAUGUCAAGCUCAGCAAUUGGGAACUCACUCUUCUCCCUGCUAGGAUAAAUGUUUGGUAGUUUGUUUUCUUUUCUUUUCUAUUAUCUGAAUUAUUUCAGAGUUGUAGUUCGGGAUCUAUCUUGUUUUGCCCCUUUGUCGUUUAUGUUCAAACCCUUCCAUCUUUCAUUUAAACUAAAUGGAGUGCCCCUUUUUCCUUUGUGUUUUAAAUAUGUGUUGUUGUUUGUUUUCUUUACACAGUAUAUUUUAUGUUGGUUCUAGUGACAUGACAUGCUAGUGUAAUUUUCAGCUAGAUCUUAAAUCAAGUUUAACCAAGAAUUUUGAAUCAGAGGGAUAAGGUUAGAAAAGAAUCUGAGAAAAUAGGUAGAGUGCUAAGAUAUUUGGCAACAAGUUGAAGCCUUCUUUGAAAAUUAAGACAAUUAUUUUGAGAAUCACAAGAGUAACUUGGUCCUCAAUUGAAAAACAUGUCUCAAUUAGGUUAAAAAGUGGCUGCGUGAUCUUAUAUUAAGAGGAACAGAAAGAAAAUCAGCUCCACAAAAGCAUGAGUAAUUCGAUGUGAGGGAUGUACAACAAAGGUGGAGUUGUAUGCUGGAAAACUGUGGAAAAAUAUGUGACACACAUUCUCAGUUAAAGUAUUGAUAAAGUGUCACAAAUGCUCUUCAUCUCGCUUUCAUAUUGCAUUUUUACGUACUUGCAUUUUCAAGGAUUGAUAUGACGAAGGCAUUUCAUUCUGCUAUCCAAACAUUGUGUCAUCCUUUGUUUACCCAUUUGAGCCUUAGUUCUAUUUUCUUUCAUACCCCUCUUUUGGAAUCAAGAUAAGAUUCAGCAAUGUUCAAAAGAAAAGUGUUGAGCAAAAGAAUAAAGUAAAAAAUGUGUCAAAAAGAAAGAAAAAGAAGUGUCAAGGAAAAUAAAGUCAGAAAAAUUUUCAAAGAUAAAUAAAAAAAAGAAAAGAAGUUAGAAUCAAGCAAAAGAACGAGUUGUUGGAACUACGUGUGACCUGAUUCUUCUUUCUCGGGGAUGAGAUAUGUAGGCUGCCCUACUCUGGGCUUGGUCCAACCAAAUAAAUAAUUUAGUAUUUCCCAGUAAAAAAAAAACUAGGGCAUGAGUUAAUCCUCAUUAUUUGAGUCGAUUCUAAAAGUUGUAAGUCCCACCCUACUUUAAAUAUCGUUUGGGCCUCAUGCCAUUCUUUCUUUCUAACCCUAUCCAAAAGCCAAGUUACAACCAAAGAAAGACCUUCAGACCAAUCUUUGAGGAUGUUAAGGCUAAGCAUGCAAGGGAUAUAAUGAUGCAUUUGGGAACUACUUGUCUUCCUCGGCAUAAGGAAUCAAGAGAGAAAUAAAAAUGAGAGUCUUAUUGAUGAAAACCCUCACGGGCACCGUAAGGCAAUGGUAAGUCGAUAGAUAAUAAAAUGAGAGUCUUAUUGGUGAAAAUCUUCAUAGGCAUUGUAAGAUGAUGGUAAGUUGAGAAAAAUAAAAAUGAGAGAGUCUUAUUCGUGAAAACCUUCACGAGCACCAUAAGGCAAUGGUGAGCUGCGAGAAAAAUGAGAGAGACUUGUUGGUGAAAACCCUUCAAAGUGUCACUAGCCGAAUGAGGUCUUAAAUGCAAUUGACCUAAGGAAGUAACUCAAAUUCAAGGCCAUUAACUCAACAAGAAAUGGUAAAAGUUUGGACGAAAAGAUCAGGCAGCUUAAUCCGAAAUGUAUGUCAUAUCAUUGGAGUUGACUGUCACUUUCAGAUAAAUUCUUCUUUUCUCUAUUUUAAUGGGGACAUUCAUUAUAUUUUCUUUCUUCUGAUAGUUUUAUUUUUAUUUUCUUGAGUCAUUUAUUCAAAUAAAAAAAUCAUUGUCAUUUUUCUCGUGUCUUUGAGUCAAGUUUAUGUCAAAAUAAGUGAGAAAAGUUUUCAAAAUUGGAUACUAACUUCUUCAAUUGCGCUAAGAAAGACAAAAGGAAAGCACAUGAAAGAAACAAGAUUGCAAGUCAGAACAAGGCAUACAGAAGGUUGUUGUCAACCAACAAAUUUGGAGAAUUCGUGGAAAUACCAAUAUCUAAAGGGGAUUGUCUUAGAAACAUAGCAAAGCAGAGAUACUGUGUUUGUUUUAGAGUCACUCUUAAUAAUCUGAGUCUGGAGCAAUGGUGAAACAAGGCAAUGACGAAUGUUAAUGAUUGGAAUUAAGAUUUUAAUGGGACCAGUGCAAGAGAAAUUGCCUCAAAAGCAAAAUCCGCAAGCCAACCACCUUGUUUAAAACUCACAAGUUUUCUUUGUUAUAAAACAGGAAUGGUUGCUACCUUUUAAUCAAAGUCUUCAAAGCACAAAUAUCCAGAGCUGCAAUUCCUCAUUUCUGCAAAUGCAAGAGCAUAGGUUUGGUAAUUGCAAUUAUGGUAAAACUUAUUAUCUUGUACCCCUAAGAGACACAUUCUCUAAUUUAGGCCUUUCAUGUCUUACGGCUAGGAGGUGCACUUCCUAAUUUGAACCGUUAGUUCUAAAAGAUGCACUUUUAGCAAGAACCUUUCACAUUCAUUCUUAAGAGACGAACUUUUUGGUCUCAGUCAUUCAAUUUUACCCUCAAAAGGGACAUUUGUUGAUCAGGAUCUUUAUUUAUCUUUGUAACGACCCUCCUGGUCUUGUGAAAUCUUUUCAACUUCCUUAUUCUAGCUCUUAUGGUAGUUUGUAUAUGUAAUUUAUGACUUACGAAGAUAGAUAGUACCGAUUCUUGAUGUGUUCUAGGUGAGUUAAGUUCCUAGUUGGGUAUUUUAGAUAAUUAAUUUAAUUAGUAAUUUAAUGGGUCCAAAACCAUAGUUUAACUACUUAUGGGGUCAAUACAAAAAAUAAAUUUAAGUUAGAAGGGUUUAUCGGGUAUAAUAAUAGAAGCAAAUAAUCCCAAGAAAGGGUGAACGACGGUUAGCAGCCAUAUUUUGUAUUCACCUCUUUAAAGAAAAUUCGUGACCUCUUAUAGGUUUCCUUUCUAAUAUCUUUAGAAUUUGAUUAGAAACUAGUAAAUAAAUGUUGUGUAGUGAUUUCCUGUAAUCAUUGGCAUAGUUGACCAUACAAAGUAAUAUUAAAAUAGUAAUAUGAGAGAUAUGAGAUAUUCUUACAAUUUGUCCUUUUAUAUGGAUUGGGAUAAAUCAGUGGAUACAAAUUUAUAUUAGGAUAGCCGGUCAUAUUUUAAUGAUGAUUAUGGGUUUUUGGUGCCUGCAGUGUCAUGAUAGAACUAUUUUGUUCUUGGCAUCAACAGCAUGCCUCGGAGAUUUGGAACUAACAAUUGUUAUUUUAGACAGUAACGACAUAGUAAUAAUAAUUUCAUAAUCAUAUUGAGGUUUAAGCGUAGAAAAUCAUUGUGUUUAAUAUGGAUGGAUUUUAUAAUUUAACAUGUUAUCAAACCAUAUAUGUUUUGGGUUAUGGUUAUAUAUAUGUGCUCUAUUGAUAAAUUAUUCUGCACUAGCUAUUUGAUAUCAUUUAAUUUUAAUGGGAAUAGUCUUCUUACUAUUUCGUUAGUACAUAAGACUAGAAUGAAUAUUUUAUUUAGCUAAACAAUUCGUUCAUGGCUAUUUGAUUGGAUUGGACUCGAUGUUCCUGUUUUGGCUAUUUGAUUUACUCAAUAUUGGCCAUUGAAUUGACAUAUUAUAUUGUUUGCUCUCUAAAUCAACAGGAGAUACUAUUUUGAUUAUUUCAUAGGUCUUAAGGGUAAAAAUGUGUAAAAUGGGUGUCACUAGAUUCGUACUCUUAUUGGGAUUAUAGUUUGAACAACUUUGAAAUAUUCGGAAGCUUUAUGGAAGGGCAAAACCCUUGCACAUUAGCUUGCUUUUGAGUUCUUCGAUUGAGGUAGGUUAUGAUUUAAUUAGAGUUUAGAAUCAACUUGAUUGUGUGUAUGCUCCUAAAUUAGAUACUUGUUGAUUGGUAUUCGGAUAUGCUUGAAAUUGUUGAUGUUUGGACUAUUGAUUUGUGUAUAAAUGAUUAUUGAAAAUUUACUUGAUGGAAUUGUCUUAUGACUUUAAAUGUACUUGUAAACUUGGUGCAUUGUGUUGUAUGCUUGAGGUAGUUUAAAUUUGAUAUUGAUAUUACUUGUUUAUAUGUUGGAUCGGGUACCAUGCCGGUAUGGAUAUGUAUAUAUUGGAUCGGGUACCACACCAGUAUGAAUAUAUAUAUGUUGGAUCGGGUACCACGCCAGUACGGAUAUGUAUAUGUUGGAUCGGGUACCACGCUAGUACGGAUAUUUAUAUGUUGGGUUGGGUGCCACACCGGUGUGGAUAUGUAUAUGUUAGAUCAGGUACCACGUUGGAUCGGGUACCACACCGAUACGGAUAUGUAUAUGUUGGAUCAGGUACUACGCCUGUAUGGAUAUGUAUAUGUUGGAUCGGGUACCAUGUUGAUACGGUACAUGAACAUAGAUUGUUCCCUGCAGGUCAUGACUAUUUGGGUAAAAAUAAGCCCCAUAGCAUGUGUGUACGUAUUUAUAUUGAUUCUGUGGAUGUUUAUAGCAUGGUUGAUACUCUUGAUGGUUAUGUGGCUUAUUUGUGAGCACUGUUUGACCUAUUGUUGUUGUUGUUGUAUUGUUGAUUCAUUGAAUAUUUAUUUUGUGACGAUGCCUGUUUACUUGUUAUCUAAUUUAUGUUGUGUAAAUGCUAUUAAAUUGAGUUGGCCUAUGAUACCUACCAGUACAUAGUGGUUUGUACUGAUACUACCCUGUACUUUUCUUUUGUUGAGUGUAGAAAGUGUUCUUGGGACUCAGACAUGACCUCACCUCUAGAGUUUGAUAGUAGAUCUUGAUCCAAGGGUGAGCACUCUGUCUCCAGGAUGCCAUAGGUCAUCCUAUUUAUUCUGUCCAUCUUUCGGGCAAUGAAACAUUCUUUAUUUACUUUAUUUUUGGAUAUCCCUUUAGACAUGAUCUUUGUUAGUAGUUCUUGUACGAUGACUUUCGGAUCUUGAAAAUUUUAGUAAGUAGUUUGUUUUAAUUCCGUAUUAACAAUGAUUAGUCUUGAAUUAUUGUUAUUAUGUUGAUUUUAUAAUAAUAUUAUCUUAAUAUUGAUUAAGUGAUUGGGUAAUAGUUCGAUUUAGAUGGUUCUCCCACAGAAAGAUUAGUGUGGGUGCCACUUAUGGCCAUUUGGGUCAUGACAAAGUUGGUAUCAAAUCCCUAGGUUUGUCGAUCUCGUCGUAUAAGAACAUGUCUAGUAGAGUCUUGCAGAACGGUACGGAGACGUCUAGAGUCUUGCAGAACGGUACGGAGACGUCUGUACUUUCCUUCGAGAGUCUAUGAGACACUAGAAAAAUUUAAAUUCUUCUUCCUUAUGUGUUACUACUUGAUUUCAAUUGGUAUCUGACUUUUUUUCACUCUUAUUCUCGAAGAUGGGUGUGGUUGAGAGGUAUGGUAUAGAACUAGUUGUCACACCACUUUUUAAACUCCAAAAAAGAUUCGUUUUAAGUUCGAAAGGGUUUUUAUUAUCAACGUGACAAAAGAUAAAAAUUUUGUUUCGAAAAGAAUUCACUUUAAAAUUAACUCAGAGUCGCCACUUGGCAUAAUCCGGUGUGCCAAGUCACCUUUGAAAAAUCCUUUUCAAAACGAUUUGACUCUUUAAAACUGGUUUGCAAACAGAGAUUCCGGCUAAGAAAUUCUGUUGAUCGAGGGGAAGGUGUUAGGCACCCCUCGGUCUCAUGGUUCAACCACGGUCGCUUGGUAGAGCGUAUCGGCUAAUUUGCCAUUCUGAAUUUAUAAACCACACAAAACAAACAAAAAACAAACAAACAAACAAACGAAAACAAAACGAACCAAAAAUAUAGUGUCCAGUCCAAUUUAUACAUUCCAAAUAGAAAAAUGCAAAAAAUAAAUCUUAUCUAACCUAUACUAAUUCUAAAUUUGCUCUCGUGCAUAACCCGACGCCUCGGGCCUUCAUUAUAAAUGUUCUCAGGGUACAUAAUACUUUGAGGCAUUCCCCGGUGAAUGAACAUAAAUACCUCGGGGCAUUCCCCGGCCAAAUGAUACAUUCAAUCCCGAAAUCAAUAAAACCAAACCGUUCACACUCAUUUCAAGCAUUCAAUAAUUCAACGAGCAAAACUUAUUCCUAAAUCUUUGCCUACCCGAGCCUACUUUUGUCUAUUCAUUAGGCCUACCAUGAUACUAUCACGUCAAUGAUAUUCAAUGAAUCAAAAUAAAUUAACGCUUGCUUUUUUAUCAAUUUCAAUUCCUACCCCCCUUAAAAAAUAGCUUCCUUUUCAAUCAAUCAAUGAUUAAUUGAUCUUUCAGUUUAGCACCUUUUCAAAAUUCAAAACCAACAUCCAUACAUCAACCAACGAAAAUUCAAACAUAUGAAUCAUUAAUACCCAUCACAACAGUUAAGACCACUAAAAUUAUCAAGAAAUCACGCCAAGGCCAUAUUUGAACUAAUAAAGAGAUAGAGUUGAGAAAAUGAACCUUUGAAUAUUACAAUGAUAUCAAUGUUUAAGAAAACCAGACUCGAAACGCUCGAAUAGAAACUCUCAACAGCGUCAAGAUCAUAACUAGAAUCGAUAAACAUCAGUCCAAAAUUGACCACAAUAACCUGACUAAGACCCAAAAUAGAAAUUCCAACCCGAUCGACGACACGAUUUGAUAAUAAAAAAAACCUCCAAGACCAUCAAUAACAACGAACAACAAACAUAGAUGAAACAAAAAAAAAACUCCCAACGAUACGAUAGAAAUCGAGAUCCAAGAGAUUCCGGCGAAGUAGUCGCCGGAACAGUGACCAAACCUGCAAAACCCUUUUCCGAAUAACUUCAAAUCUACCCUUUUUUCUUCCCCGUUACAGAUCCACCCUCAAUUUCUCUCUCACGUGCGAGUCUCUCGAUAUUUUUGGUCAAACUCUCCACUACCUGAUUGUCUAUUCCGGUUGUGUGUUCUGUGUGCGUGAGUGAGUGUGAAUUAGUGAGGUGUAGUAUAUGAGAUUGUGUGCAUGCGAGUUACUGUGUAAAAGAAAAGACGGCCCCAAAAUUGGAGUCCGUCAGUGUUUUUUUUUUUAAUGAAGAAGAUCAUGUUCUUGGUGUGUUAUGUGUAGAUGAUGAUAAGAGCAAGAACCAGAAAAAUUGUGAGGCCUACCCCCCCCCCUUUCUCUCGUGCACUGUGUGUGUAUAUAUUUCAAAAGGAAAGAAAAAUAUUUUUGGAGACUUAUGGGUCCAUCCCCCUAGGUAAUUUCCUGGAAAGUUCCCUGGGUCCUUUCUUUGUUAACAAGCAAAAUAAGAGAGGGAGUGAGGGGUCACGUGAGGUAGGGGAUAGGAGGGGUAGGGGUUCGGAUGUGUUGUCAAUUUUUAAUAGGUUGAGUUGUUGGAAUCUUUAAAAUAAGACAAAAUUAGUUAGGUUUGUUAAAUGGGUUAAAAACAAAACAAAACAAAUAAAUAAAUGAGUAAAAGAUGAGGUGGUUAUUUAUUUUCUUGGGGAAAAAUUACUAUGUGGAUAGGGUAUGUAGUAAAAUGAGGUAAACGAUAAAAUGUGUGAAGGGACAAAAUUACGUGUCUACAUCAUGCCCCCUUUGAAUGUAAACACCUAGUGUUUUCAUACAAAGAAGUAGACAACGAGACAGAAUUUUGUCCCAAUCAUUAUUCGAAGAAAGAAACAAAAGAAAGAAAGAGAACCGAGUCUUGACGGACAUCCUACCUACCCAUGUUAUGAGGGAAUCAAGUGACUGGUAUCUCCAAGGGUUGGAAGGAGAGGAACUAUACCGAGUUGGAGAGUCGAGUGAGGUUCCAUCGAGGUUUUGGUCCGCGGCUCUGUCAUUACAUCAAAAAUAAAAAUUACACGUUAAAACAUCAAUGAAAUUACAAAAUCCUAUCUAUGGAGCUUUCUUUGACUAUUUACUCGCUACUCCAUCACCUUAUUCUUCAGGCGGGCUCCUGACUUGCAAUUUCUUCACCCUGUUGCUUGACUUUUAACUUCUUCACCCUGUUCUUCAGGCGGGCGUCUGACUUGCUAUUUUUCUUUCGAUUUCUUCACCUUGUUGCUUGACUUUCCACUUUUCACCCUAUUUUCAAGUGGAACCCUGACUUUUAAUUUCAUCACCCUGUUCUUCAGGCGAGUUCUUGACUUUCCAUUUCAUCACCCCAUUCUUUAGGCGAGUUCUUGACUUAUAAUUUCGUUACCCUGUUCUUCAGGCGGGCACCUGACUUACAGCUUCAUCACCCUGUUCUUCAGGUGGGCUCCUGAACUCAAAAUAAAAGCUAGAAAUAAAAUUAUCCCAAACGAAGAUUAUGAUAAAGAAAAAUUUCACUUUUUCCUAAAAGUAAUGUCCCAUUUUCCAGGAGGGUCCUGAACAUAAAGUAAAUUCCCAUUUUUAAAGAGGGUCCUGAACAGAAAGUAAAUUCCCAUUUUUCAGGAGGGUCCUAAACACAAAGUAAAGUCCCAUUUUUCAGGAGGGUCCUGAACAGAAAGUAAAAUUCCAUUUUUUAGGAGGGUCCUGAACAGAAAGUAAAAUUCCAUUUUUCAGGAGGGUCCUAAACAGAAAGUAAAAUCCCAUUUUUCAGGAGGGUCAUGAACAGAAAGUAAAAUCCCAUUUUUCAUGAGGGUCCUGAACAGAAAGUAAAAUCCUAUUUUAAGGAGGGUCCUGAACAGAAAGUAAAGUCCUCAUGGAUGUGUUUUUCCAAUGGUAACUGAAUUAAAUGAAGUGAAUUUGCCCCUAUUUCAACAAAGAAAAUUUGUCAGUUAAAAACUUAGUGGUGGCUUGUAGCACUUGGCUUCCCAGGGAUCUGCUCCAACCAUUGUUCCUUUCACCUUUGUUUCAGAUCACUGAAACUUAUCUCUGUCUUGUCGCAUCAUUGACCCAGAUCCAAAUUGAGGGAAAUGAGUUUUGACUCGAACAAUGAGUCUCCAUUUUACCAUGCCUCUGAGAUGCACCCUUUUCCAAAUCUUAAUACUCCCACGAAUCCAGCAGCCUGUCGGUUGAUAGACUUCCUUUUCUUUGUGUUGAAUUACGAUCAUAUUUCUUUCAUGUGCUGGUCCUUGGCUUUUCCUCAGAAAAUUGGAAAGACUGGUAGCAAGUUUUGAAAUCUUUUCUCGCUUGUUUUGACACAGACUUGACUUAAAAUGUAGAGAAAUGAUGGUGACUGUUAUUUUGAUAAAUGACAUAAAAAGACAAAAUAUGAAUAUGUAAUGAAAGAAAAAGGAAAUGUCCCUUAUUCAAAAAGAAAACUUAUCUGAAUACGGCAACCAAUUCCAAUGAGUAUGACAUGCAUUUUGGAUUAAGCUGCCUGAUCUUCCUAUCCAAACUUCCCAUUUUUUGUUGAGUUCAUGCCUUUGCCACUGAGCCACUUCUUCAAAUCCAUUGGACUCACAUAACUCAUUCAAUUGAAAACAACUUAAAAGACUUUCGCCAACAAAUCUCUUUCCUUUUCACUUUUCUCUCAAACUCGCCAUCGCCUUACGGUGCCCAUAAGGGUUUUCACCAAUAAGACUCUCAUUUUUAUUUCUCUCAGCUCCCCAUCGUCUUAUAGUGCUCGUGAGGGUUUUCACAAGUAUGAAUCUCUCAUUUUUAUUUCUCUCGACUCACCAUUGCCUUAUGGUGCCCGCGAGGGUUUUCACUAAUAAGACUCUCAUUUUUAUUUCUUUCCUGAUUUUUUAUACUGGGGAAGACAAGUAGUACCCAACAAUGUAUCAUUAUAACCAUUGCAUGCUUAGUCUUAACAUUAUCAAAGAUUGAUUUGAAGGACUUUCUUUGGUUGUAGCUUGGCUUUGGAUAAGGUUAGGAAAGGAUGACAAGAGACUCAAACGAUACUUGAAGUGGGGGUGGGAGUUACAACUUUUGAAAUCGACUCAAACAACACAUUAACUCAUGCCCCAGUUUUUGUUGACUGGUACCAGAAUCUAAAAUCUUUAUUUGGUUGGACCGAGCCCUGAAUAGGGAAGCCUAUGUAUCUCACCCCCAAGAGAGGAGAAUCAGGUCGUACAUAGUUCCAUCAGCUUGUUCUUUGUUUUGAUCUAAUUUUCUCUUCUCUUUUUUUUCUUUUAUUAUUAUUUAUUUAUUUUUAUUAUUUUUUUAUUGACAUUUCACUUUUUGCUUUGUUUUGAUUCCAAAAGAGGGAUAUGAAAGAAAAAGAGGACUAAGCUCAAACGGGGUAAACAAAGAAUGUCACAAUGUUUGGAUAACAGAAUGAAAUGCCUUCAUCAUAUCAAUCUUCAAAAAUGCAAGUACUAGACAUGUACUAAAAUCAACAAAGGAUAAAAUAUCAUACAUAAUAUCUUUUGACCGCAUCAACAUUGAUAGCCAUUUCUGCCAUUUUGCCUUCAAUAUCUGUCAAAUAUAAGGCUCCAUUGGGCAACACUUUCUUCACCAUGAAGGGACCUUGCCAAUUAGGGGAGAACUUGCCUUUUGCUUCAACCUGAUGAGGAAGAAUACAUUUCAAUACCAACUGACCAACUUCAAAAUUCCUGGGACGUACCUUUUUGUUAUACGCUCAAGCCAUUCUCUUCUGAUACAAUUGGCCAUGACAUACCGACUUCAAUCUUUUUUCAUCAAUCAAACUCAAAUGUUCCAAUUAGGUUUUGGCCCACUCAUCAUCAUCAAUCUCUGAUUUCACAAUGACUUAAAGAGAGGGAAUUUCAACUUCAGUGGGAAUGACUGCUUCUGUCCCGUACACCAAUAAAUAUAGAGUUGCCCCUGUUGAAGUGUGAACAGUAGUGCGAUACCCUAGCAAUGCAAACGGCAACUUCUCAUGCCAUUGUCUAUAUCCUUGCACCAUUUUCUGUAGUAUUUUCUUGAUAUUCUUAUUGGCAGCUUCCACCGUGCCAUUUGUCUUUGGAAGAUAUGGAGUGGAAUUUUGAUAUACGAUCUUAAACUGUUGGCAUACUUCUUGAAUCAAAUGUCUAUUGAGAUUGGCAGUAUGUCUGUAAUGAUCAUCUUUGGAAUUCCAAACCUACAAAUGAUGUUGGCAUGAAAGAAAUCUACUACCGCCUUCUUUGUUACCGACUUGAAAGUUACUGCUUCUACCACUUUGUGAAGUAAUUAAUGGCCACCAGAAUAAACCUAUGCCUAUUUGAUGCUUUUGGCUCAAUCAGUCCAAUCACGUCCAUUCCCCAGGCUAUGAAAGGACAUAGAACAACCAUUGCGUGCAACUCAGUUGGAGAAGAAUGUAUUAGAUCACCGUGUACCUGACAUUGAUGACACUUGAGAACAAAUCGAAUAGAAUCCCUCUCCAUAGUGAGCCAGUAAUAGAGAAUCUUCUUUGAUAAGACAUAACCGUUCAUAUGAGGCUCGCAUACUCUGGAGUAAACUUCAACAAUGAUUGCCGAAGCUUCUUUUACAUAUACAUACCUCAAAAGUCCCAGAUCCGGGGUUCUCUUGUAUAAGACUCUUCCACUUAAGAAAAAUCCACUAGCCAAAUGCCUAAUAGUCCUCUUUUAAUCAUUGGUGGCAUGUGCUGGGUAUUCUCCUGACUGGAUGUACUGCUUGAUAUAAAAGAACCAAGGUUCUCCAUGGAGCUCUUCUUGAACUGCAUUACAAUAAGUGUGUUGAUCAUGACUCUGAAUAUGCACUGGAUCGAUGUAGGCCUUAUCAGGAUGUUGGGGCAUCGAAGAUAAAGUGGCCAACCCAUCAGCAAUCUCAUUGCAAAUUCUUGGAAUAUUCCUAAACUUUACAGACACAAACCGUUGACAUAGAUCUUUCAAGCAUUGUCAAUACGGUAUUAGCUUUAAAUCUUGCGUCUCCCAAUCACCUUGAAUCUGAUAGUCGAGCAAAUCUAAAUCCCCAACACUAUUAGUUCCUGGACUCCUAUAUCAACAACUAGCCUCAACCCAGAAUGCGAGCUUCAUAUUCUGCCAUGUUAUUGGUACAAUAAAAUCGAAGUUGUACUGUUACCGAAAAAUAUUGCCCCACCUCAGAGAUAAGAACAACACCUAUUCUAACUCCCUUGACGUUAACAACUCCAUCAAAGAACAACUUUCAACCUGGAUCAACAUCUAUAAUGACUUCAUCGACACACAAUACCUCUUCAUCUGGAAAAUAUGUCUUUAAUGGGUCAUACUCUUCAUCAAUGAGAUUCUUAGCAAGAUGAUCUGCUAAGGCUUGGUAUUUCAUGGCGGUUCGAGUCACAUAUACAAUGUCAAACUUGGUAAGCAAUAUUUUCCACUUUGCCAAUCAACUCGUUGGCAUAGGCUUAUGAAAUAUAUACAUCAACAGAUCUAUGCGGGAGAUGAGAUAAGUAGUAUAAGAUGAAAGAUAAUGCUUAAAAUUUUGUUCUACCCAAGUCAGGGCACAACACGUUCUUUCAAGAAGUGUGUACUUGGCUUCAUAUGUUGUGAACUUCUUGCUAGGUAAUAAAUAGUUUAUUCCCUUUUGCCCGUGACAUCAUGCUAACCCAAGACACAACUAAAGGAAUUGUCCAUGACUGAUAAAUAUAUGAUCAAAGGCCUACCAGGAUCCGGUGGUACCAGCACGGGCGGAUUUAACAGAUAUCUUUUGAUUUUAUCGAACACUUCCUGGCAUUCUUCAAUCCACUCUACCACAACACUCUUUUUCAGCAACUUGAAAAUGGGCUCACACGUGGUUGUGAGUUGAGAAAUAAACCUGCUGAUGUAGUUCAAUCUACCCAGGAAACUUAUCACCUCCGUCCUAUUCUUGGGUGAAAGCAGAUCUUGGAUGGCUUUGAUUUUCGAGGGAUCCAAUUCAAUUCACAGAUGGCUGACUACAAACCCCAACAACUUUCCAGACGGAACUCCAAAUACAAAUUUUGCUGGAUUGAGCUUGAGAUUAUACCUGGGAAGCCUUCUAAAGAACUUUCUUAAAUCUUUUACAUGGUCAACCUGGCUCUUUGAUUUAAUAAUUACAUCAUCUACAUAGACUUAAAUAUCCUUAUGCAUCAUAUCAUGAAACAUGGUGGUCAUGGCUCUCAUGUAUAUUGUUCCAGCAUUCUUCAAACCGAAUGGCAUCACUUGAUAAAAUAAGUACCCCACAGUGUGAUAAAAGACGUCUUUUCCACGUCUUCAUCAUCCAUAAUGAUCUGGUGGUAUCCAGCAUAACAAUCCACAAAAAAGGCUACCUCAUAUUUAGCGCAAUUGUUCAGCAAAAUAUGGAUGUUGGGCAGCGAAAAAUCAUUAUUCGGACUUGCUCUGUUCAAAUCAAGGUAAUCAACACAUACUCGAAUUUUGUCAUCUUUCUUUGGGACAGGAACAACAUUGGACAACCACGUAGGAUAAAGAGCCACUCGAAUGACUUUGGCUUUCAGUUAUUUCAUAAUUUCCUCUUUGAUUUUAAUACUUACAUCAGUUUUAAACUUCCUCAACUUCUAUUUCACAGGGAGGGGAAGGCAGGAUCAGUUGGCAAUUUAUAAGACACUAAUUCAGUGGUUAAACCGGGCAUAUCAUCAUAAAACCAUACAAAAACAUUCUUAUAAUCAAUUAAUGCUUGAACCAUGCCCUCUUUUAGCUGUGGCAAAGCAUGUACACUAAUUUUAGUUUCCCUAACAUCUUCUUGAUUCCCUCGAUUAAUUGGGUCAAUUUCAUUCAAAUUAGGAUUUGAAUUGUCUUCAAAUUGUUUCAACUCUUUGCUUAUUUCUUCUAGUGCCUCUUAUUCAUCAUAUUCCCCUCUUGCUUCAAUAUAUCUUGAUUAGUUUGGAUUUUAAGAUUAGGCUAAAAAUUUCACAUGCAUGUCAUGUCAUUAGAGUCAGCAUAAAGAGAACUGUAUAAAGAAAAGACAAAACAAAAUACAUUAGACAAAAAAUAAAAGGGACAUUACAUUUCAUUAAAAGGGAAAGGUAGGAGGGUUUAAACACAAACAACAGAAUAUAAACAAGCUAAAUUCUGAGUUACAACCCUGGAAUAACUCAAAAAACUGAAAGGAAAACAAAAUAAACUAUCAAAACAGCCUCCUGAUGGGGAGAGGAGUGACUUCCCAAUUGUUGAGACAGACAAUUGGAACUAUGAACUGCACAUCUUCCUUACUGGUACCUUCUCCUGCUUCAACCAUGUCAACUUCAAUCAAUAGGUUCUGGAAGUCAUCAACCAAUUUAGCUUUAAAUUCUACAUGCUUUAUGACACCGCUCUUGACAAAUGACUCACUGAGUAGCGGCGUUGGGUGAGGGAGUGACCAUGUUUCCUUUUUCCUUUCCUUGGCCUCCUUCAGAUCUUCAGUCGUAGGUUCAAAACCCAGACCAAAAGUGCCUAUGUUCUCCCUCGGACAUAUAGGACGAACUAUACCAUACAGAGACACUCCCAAACCUUUUCCUGGCACAAAUCCAUACUUCAACAUCUCAUUCACCAUCAUGAAAGAAGUAGAAGACAAUCGUGGUCCCGACAUAACCUUCUCCUCAAGAAUAAGAUCCACCGACACUGUAUCAAACGACUGAUAGAUAAAUGUAUCCUCUACACUAAUUGCUUCAAUAAGAGGGAUGAGAGAAUCUUUGUGGGCGGACAAAUCCCUUUUGCCAUGAAUAACCACUUCUUGCCUGUCAUGCUCAAACUUGAUCAUCUAGUGCAAUGUAGAUGCAACAGCCCCAACUUUGUGGACCCAUGGUCUUCCCAACAACAGAUUGUAUGAGGAGUCAAUAUUCAUCACUUGGAGCUCUAUGGAAAAUUCAACAGGCCCUAUAAGCAACAUUAGUUAUAUUUCGCCAAUGAAGUCUGUUUUAGCCCCAUCGAAAGUCCUGACACAUACAUUAUUCGGCCUAAUCCUCUCGACACCGAUGUUCAACUUUUGUAGUGUAGAUAUAGGGCAAAUAUUUAUGCCAGAACCUCCAUCAAUCAUGACAUGAGUGACGCAGAAAUCUUAACACUUCACGGUAAUGUAAAGACCCUGGUUAUGCCCCGUACCUUCAACUGGAAAUUUGUUAUCAGAGAAGCUGAUUCGAUUUACUUCAAAGAUUUUUUCGACUAUUUUCUGAAGCUGAUUUAUCGUAAUCUCCUUAGGAAAGUACGCUUUGUUUAAUACCUUCAGUAUAAUGUCACGAUGUUCCUUGGAAUGCAACAACAAAGAUAAGAGGGAAAUUUGAGCAGGGGUCUUCUUCAACUGAUCUAUUAUUGAAUACUCUGGAAAUUUCAUCUUUUUCAAAAAUUCUUCAACUUCUUUUUCGGUGACAGGCUUCUUGACAGAUGAAGGCCCACUUACCCCUGGCUUGGGCUUCAUCAAACCUUUAAGCACGAAGCAUCUUCCUGACCGAGUCAGACCCCCUAUCACAUCUACUUCUUCCUCGACUUUCUUUCCUUAAUAAGUCAUCACAGUCUGCUUAUAGUUCUAGGGUACCUUUUUCGUAUCAACUGUCGGAGGUUGGGUCACCGGUUUGAUGAUAAUAGGCGCUGCAAGUACUCCUUUCACUGUCAAGAUAGGCUUACCCGGAGCUCCUAUCACCAUUAAAUUAUGCUCGUCUUAACUUAGACCAACAUUUUUUCUGGCUCCUUGCACCACAAUCACAGGUUUCUUUGUGCUUUCUUGGACUUUAUCUUCUCCCAUUCCUUCCUGGCUUAAUGACAUUGCUUUCAAUGAAUCUUCAACAUUCACCUAUUUGUCCUCCUUGGUUUGUAUUCUGACAAUAGGCUUAUAACACAUUGAUGACUCUUUGCCAUCAUAUAUCAACUCCAAUAUAUUAGUUUCAGCAUGGUUGGCAAUGGAUUCUGGUUAAUGUUUGGAAUUUACAGGGCCUGGACUAGAAGUUGAUUUGCAUCAAUUAAAUCUUAGAAAACUCUCUUCAAAUGCCAGCAUUUCUCGAUGUCGUGCCCCGGCAUAUCAAAACAAUACGCAUAUCUUAAUGAAUAAUCAAGAUUUCUCGGAGGUGGAUUCAAAAGCCUUCCUUGAAUUAGGCUCAAUACCUUCAAAUUCCUCAACCUAGGUUGGAAAGCGGGUUUGGAGGGUUUUUGGUAAUUUGGAGGAGCUGAAGGACGAUUUUGAGGAGCUUAUGCAUGCCAUUGUGGGUAAAAAAGGGUUUGAGCAUAUGCUUGUGCGCUAUUUACUGGGUACGGGGGUGGUGGAAUGGAAUAUAGUGGGUUUUGUAGGGGAUAGUAAUGAUGGGAAAGAAUAUAUGGAGCUUGGGCAUAGGCUUGGGCUUGGGGUUAGUGAUAGGGGCAAGGUGGUCUUUUGGGAUAGGAAUGGGAUAUAGCUAUAAUGGUUGCCACCUCCUCUUUCUUAUUUUUUACCUCCAAAAGUUCCAGAGCCACCUUGAAUUGCUUGGGUGAUGGCUUUUAAUGCGGCAAAACUCAUAAUCCAUCUAGUCUUGUUUCUGUCCUCUAUCAUCUCUCCCAUUUUUAGGACUUCAAUAAAUGACUUUCUCAUCGCCGGAAGUAAAUGUUGAAAAUAGGUCUCAUCCUAUGCCAGAAUGAAGACCUCUACUAACUUACUCUCCUUCAUUGGAGGUUUUACCCUUGCGGACUGUUCACGCUAUCUUAUCGCGUAUUCCCAAAAACCUUUAGUACUUUUCUUUUUCAUAUUGACCAGGGAUUUCUCAUCAGGAACCAGAUCGAUGUUAUAUUGAAAAUAUUGCACAAAUUCAUUAGCUAGGUUAUCCCAGUUGUUCCAAUUGUCAAUAUCCUGAUCGAUGAAACAUUCUAAAGCCAGACCGGAAAGACUCUCACCAAAGAAAGCCACAAACAACUCUUCUCUUCCCCCUGCAGCCCUCAAUUGGUUGCAAUAACGUCUCAAAUGCGCCACGGGAUCACCGUUUCCCUCGUACUUCUCAAAUUUGGUCAUUUUAAAACCAAGGAGAAGGUUAACGUCUGGGCAUAUGCAAAGAUCUCUAUAGGAAACACUCUUAUAACCCCCGAUUCCUUGUAAAUUCCUCAUGGCCUGUUCUAAAAUUUUCAAUUUCCACGCUAUGACUUCUUGUUCCUCUAUUGUAACUAGCUUCUCUGUAUCAAAUGGAAAUGCAGGUGGAUGAGUGUACCCAUAUGGUUCAUUCAUCUUCAAAGUAGGUUCCAGGGCAUAAUACUGAUUAUCUGAAACCUUCAAUACUGGCUCACUAACAGACUGAAGGAGUACCAUUGUCGGACGUACAGUAUAGAUUGGAGCUUUAGGUGGUGGCGGAGCCACGAACACAGGCGCUGCCGGUGGCUCCGAAUGAGUCACGGGCCUUAGUUGAGGAACUGCUAGGGGAACACUAUAAGUGCCAGGGUAAUAUUGCCGUGGAGUGAAUCCGUUGACUCAAUGGGAACAGUGAAUUGCGCCUAAGAGAGCUGUGGGCAAUUAGGGAAAUUCCCAAGAUCUUUAGGGAGUGGAGGAGGAGGCAUGCCACUAGCCCAUGCUCGGUGAAGAUCUAGCAAUUGUUGUCUAAGUCUUAAUACCUCAUCAUUGCGUUCUAAACUUUCUUUCCUGGGAUCCUGAUCUGGGUCAAUGAGUGAAUUUUCAAUCUCCCUACUAGACAUGACAAGCUUAUCUUUUGAUCUAGUGAAGUACAGAUGCCUAGACAAAGUGCUACAAAGCAACCACUUAUCUGAAAGAACAUGCUCAUCAAAGGCAAAACCCAUUAGGAUUAGGUCAGGAAACAAGCAUAGAAAUCACAUAGUAUACAUCAUAGGUUUAUGUACAUUUCUACUGGCCUUUGAGGGUACUGAGGCCAUUUUAACAUCAUCCCGAUUUUCUCAUUACAUUAUCACACCUCGUUCUUUCUGCUUUUCACCUUCACUUCUUCCUUCUUUUGCAUCAAUUUCUUCUCUUCCUCUUUUCUUCUCUCAUUGCUAUUUCUUUCUUUUCUUCUCUCGCUAUCUCAUUUCUUUUUGUCAUUCUUUAUGGGUUUUGCUUUUCUUUAAAAGAGGAAAAUAAUGAAAAACAAAGAAACAAAAUGAUUAGAUCGAACCCAAAAGUAGGUUGCCUACGUAUCAUAUUAAUGAAUCAGAUCUUGCGUAGUUCGGGAGACAUAUGCACAAAUAUCACAUAAUUGAAGAUUUUUGAUUUUUGAUUUUUUUUUUUGGCGAAAAACAAACAAAAGAAAAAACCAACAUCACUACAUUUCAUAAAAGGGAUGACUCAAACAUACUUCAAAUUUAAGACAAACUUAAAACUAAUCAACGAAAACUAAACAACACUCUAGACAUAUAGGACAACAUGCGUAACAUUCCUUAUAAAGACCCUAGCGUUAAAACAAACUGGACAUCGACUUAACAAAGACACAAUACUACAAUGGCAGAAAAGUAAAGGACUCAAACUAAACAAAAGAUAAGAAAUGCUCUUUCAAACUGGUGCGUCGUGUGAUGACCCUGGAUGAGAUGGACCUUUCUGUGAAAUUCUACUCAAACUAUAUAGCAUAUCUUGCAAGGACAGUUUGAUAUUUUGGAAGAAACUUCUAGCACGUAUUCCUGCCUCAUGGGGAGUGCACCUGAAAAGACUGUUCUGACAUAUUUCCACAGUUGCGAGCAAACCUGAUAACUGAACUCUCAACUCCUCCACUUUGAUCCCCGCACCCUCAUCUUGACGAACAUCAACUAUGCAUUCUUCCUGUGUUCUUCCUCUAAGCUGUGCUGGUAAUGGUCUACUGAUACCCCGAGGCAUGGACUCUAGCCAGAUCUCAUAUCUCUGAGUGUACCCCGGAUUAUCCAAACCUUUUUUAAGAGUGUCUACACCUAGCAUUGUUGCAUGCUUCCAUAACUGCUCGUAUUUCCUCUCACCUAAGGCUUGGUCCUUGAAGUACUCAACAUUCUUUAGAAGAUCCACUACUGUUUGCACGUCCUGCGGCCUGCCCAACUGGCGCAUUAUCCUAGAAGGACUGUAUGGUCUAGUGCAAUUGAGUCCUAACAUAACUAUAAGGAGCUGCAUCUGACAACCAAACAAGAUUAUUUUUGGGCGAAGCCACAGAUAAGUCUACAAAAUGUUAUCCUCGGUUCUUGACUCAAGAAAUUCAAUCCAAGCAUCGACUCCCACGAGUUGCGAGAAUUUAUCAAAGCGCCACCUGAGGUCCAUGACUUUCACUCGAUUGGGAACACAACUAUCAACCAUGUCUGGUCUAACUAAAGAAGGCGCAUGCAAAUGCUCCAUCAUCCACAACUACAAUAUCAGGUUACUGCCCUCCAAAAAUCUCAUCCCCCGUUUACUUCGGUUAAAGCGUUAUAUAUUUCUGUUAAGAUCAUGGGUAUAAUAGUGAACUUUUCCUUUUGAUUAGUGACCUUGACCUUUUGAUUAACGAUCUUGCCUUUUUGAUAUGUGAUAUUGUCUUUUUUAUCCUUAUGAAAUAGAGCCAUUACCACAGAUUGCAAGCGUGUAUUAAUACGCCUUUCUUCUAGCGGAAACACUAAAGUGCCUAACAGAGCGAGGGUGAAGACUUCAAGAUGUUUUCUUUCCCAAUUAUGCUUAGUCAUAUAAAAUUCAUCCCAAAAGUAGUCAAAACCUUUCAAGGACCCAAACCUAGCGAAUAAAAAGUCAAAGGAAAUCCAUGAUUGAUUCAGAUAACCCAAAUGCUUGUUGUUACUCUUUAACCCACAACCUUGUAGAAAUUUAUUGCCCGAGUGAUUCUGAGCUCGGAUCAUACUCUUAUCGAUAUAAGGCAAAUAAAGCAUACCGAAUAUUUCUGCCAAGGUAGGAGUCAUUCAUAGUUUCCGAACCUGAACACCACACUACUAGGAUCCCAAAAGGUUAACAUAGCAUCUAUUAGAUCUGGCCGAGGUGUAAGAUAUAGAAGCUCCAUAGGAUCACCUAGUAUCUUAAUUACCUCUUGCUUAUUAGUACAGUUGGACGUGCCCCACCACUUGAUUAACUUUUUGGGUACUUUGGAAACCAUCAAGUCUCUAGAACCUAUGGGAUUCAUCCUGUAAGAACAAACCAUACUCAAAAUUCAAAACAAGAGAAAGAGCUCCCGACCCUCGGGAUUUUAGCUUAGAGAAAUAUCAUAUGACAUAGAGGGACAGAUCGACCUAUAACUUAAAUAUACCGAACAGUACCGCCGAAUGAAAUCAGCCUACUUGGCAAGGACCAGUUGACAACACUAGAUUACGAGGAGAAAGACCCUAGCCUAAGAUCGAGAUGAAGAUCAAGGUAAAAAGAUUACCGGACCUGCCGAGGGUUGCCUACGUAUCCCACCUCGAGGGACGAGAAUCAGGUAUGCGUAGUUCAUCCAGAUUAGACAAUUAAGGACUACAAUGAACUAAGACUUGACCUAAUAGGUGGGAUUACAGACGGACGAUGGAAAUAACAUCUUUUUGGGUUUUUUAAUAAACACUUUACAUAAAAAUAGUACCACUAUGAAAUUAAAAUCUUUUUGGUAUUUUCAUGAAAUGUACAAAACUCCUACAAUUUUUUUCCAAUUUUGUUUUAUAAAAACUCCUAUGAAUGAAAAAUCUUUUUGAAGUUUUCGAAUUGUGAAUGCAUGCUAAACGAGACAAAGGAACAUUUUUUUUGAUGUUUUUGUUUUUGAGAAAUGAGUGCUAAAGGUAAAAGUUUUUUUUUUCUUCUGAAUUUUUGGAUUGUGAAAAACAAAAGCCAUAAAGAACUCGAAAAACUACGAAACUCUUUCUUUUUUCUUUUUCUUUUCUUUUUUUCCAUUACCCAUACACUUUACUUCUAACACAUGUUUCCCCAAAUUAGUCCGUCAAAUGACCAUGUUACCCUCAAAGAUGCAACAUUUAGCACGUUGGGAUGUUUUAGAGGUGAGUAUCCUAUGAAGGACCAAGUAGGCCCCGCUAAGUCUCGACAUGAUGCACAUAAACAUGACCAGAAGGUAAUAUGACCUGAAGGCUAACCUACGCUGGGGUUCACUAACAAGGCUGUUCGGGGGAGCGUAUGAUUGAUAGUGGCUGCGGCAGCUUUCCAUCUACUCCAUAUAACCCAACGGCUCCCCCAUUCUAAAAUAAGGGUGACUCAACUAUAGGUCGUGUACACACGUGUACUACAGACUUGUUGCAGAAAGAAUGACUCGGGUUAUGCACAUGACGUCAUAUAUAAAAAAGUAACAUAUUAAAUAAAAACUGUAAACAAAGAGCACGUAGGCACUCACCAAUGAUAAACAAUAACACAAAAUAACACAAACAAAAUGUCUAUACACCUAUAAUGCCAAACUAAGACGAUACAACUCCAAAAUAAGCUUGAAUUCUAAAAAGUGCUCCCCAGCGUAGUCGCCAGAGCUGUCACACCCUUUAUAAACUCCAAAAAAGAUUCAUUUUAAGUUCGAAAGGGUUUUUAUUAUCAACGUGACAAAAGAUGAAAAAAAUUUCAAAAAGAAUUCACUUUACAAUUAACUCAGAGUCGCCACUUGGCUUAAUCCGGUGUGCCAAGUCACAUUUAAAAAGUCCUUUUUAAAAUGAUUUGACUUUUUAAAACUGAUUUGUGAACAGAGAUUCCAGCUAAGAAAUUCUGUUGAUCGAGGGGAAGGUGUUAGGCACCCCUCGGUCCCGUGGUUCAACCACGAUCGCUUAGUAGAGCGUAUCGGCUAAUUUGACAUUAUAAAUGUAUAAAACACACAAAACAAACAAAAAACAAUAAAACAAACAAAGAAAACAAAACGAACCAAAAAUACAGUGUCCAGUCCAAUUUAUACAGUCCAAAUAGAAAAAUGCAAAAAAUAAAUCCUAUCUAACCUAUACUAAUUCCAACUUCGCUCUCGUGCAUUACCCGAUGCCUCGGGCCUUCAUCACAAAUGUUCUCAGGGUACAUAAUACUUUGGGACAUUUCCCGAUGAAUGAACAUAAAUAGCUUGGGGUAUUCCCCGGCCAAAUGAUACAUUCAAUCCCGAAAUCAAUAAAACCAAACCGUUCAACACGUAUUUCAAGCAUUCAAUAAUUCAACGAGCAAAACUUAUUCCUAAAUCUUUGCCUACCAGAGCCUACUUUUGCCUAUUCAUUUGGCCUACCAUGAUACUAUCAUGUCAAUGAUAUUCAAUGAAUCAAAAUAAAUUAACGCUUAUUUUUUUAUCAAUUUCAAUUCCUACCCCCUCCUAAAAUAGUUUCCUUUUCAAUCAAUCAAUGAUUAACAGAUCUUUUAGUUUAACACCUCUUCAAAAUUCAGAACCAACAUCCAUACAUCAACCAACAAAAAUUCAAACAUAUGAAUCAUUCAUACCCAUCACAAUAGUUAAUACCACUAAAAAUCUCAAGAAAUCACGCCAAGGCCAUAUUCGAAAUAAUAAAGAGAUAGAGUUGAGAAAAUGGACCUUCAAAGAUUACGAUGAUAUCAAUGUUUAAGAAAACCAAACCCGAAAGAUAAAAUAGAAACUCUCAAUAGAGAUAAGAUCAUAACACGAAUCGAUAAACAGCAGUCCGAAAUUGACCACAAUAACCUGACUAAGACCCAAAAUAGAAAUCCCAACCCGAUCGAUGACAUGAUUUGAUCACAAAAAAACCUCUAAGACUGUCACUGACGAUGAACAACAAACGUAGACAAACCUAAAAAAAAACUCCCAACGACACGACAAAAAUCGAGAUCCAAGAGAUUUCGGCGAAGUAGUCGCUGGAACAGUGACCAAACCUGCAAAACCCUUUUCCGAAUAACUUCGAAUCUACCCUUUUUUCUUCCUUAUUAUAGAUCGACCCUCAAAUCCCUCUCUUGCGUGCGAGUCACUCAAUAUUUUCCCUCAAACUCUCCACUACCUGAUUGUCUAUUCCAGUCGUGUAUUCUGUGUGCGUGAGUGAGUGUGAAUCAGUGAGGUGUAGUAUAUGAGAGUGUGUGUGUGUGAGUUACUGUGUAAAAGAAAAGAAGGCCCAAAAAAUAAAGUCUGUCAGUGUUUUUUUAAUGGAGAAGAUCAUGUUCUUGGUAUGUUAUGUGUAGAUGAUGAUAAGAGCAAGAACUAGAAAAAUUGUGAGGCCUUCCUCCCCUUUUCUCUCAUGCACUGUGUGUGUAUACAUUUCAAAGGAAAGAAAAAUAUUUUUGGAGACUUGUGGGUCCAUCCCCCUAGGUAAUUUCCUGGAAAAUUCCCUGGGUCCUUUCUUUGUUGACAAGCAAAAUAAAAAAGGAGGGAGGGGUCACGUGAGGUGGGGGUAGGAGGGGUAGGGGUUAGGAUAUGUGACCGUGUGGCCACUGUGUUAUUUGAUUUUGGUUCUACUUUGUCAUAUGUAUCUAUCAAUUUUGUUGUGGAUUUGGACAAGGUGUGUGUCUACUUGACUUUUCUAUUCACGUGCCCACUCCUGUGAGUGAUUCUCUUGUUGUUGAUAGGAUUCAUCAUUCUAGUUCUGUUAUGUUAUGGGGUAUCAAACUUGGGCAGAUUUUGUGAUUCUAGACAUGAUAGAUUUUGAUAUAAUUUUGGGUAUGAGUUGAUUAUCUAUAUAUCAUGCUAUGCUGCAUAGUCAUGCUAAGAUAGUGACUGUAGCUAUGCCGAAAAUGGAUAGACUUAAGUGGGAGGGUGAUUAUAGUCCUACUCCAAUGAAACUUAUUUCUUUCUGCGUGCAAAGAGGUUAAUUGGAAGAGGUUGUUUGACCUUCCUAGCAUAUCUUCGGGACACUUCCAUAGAGGUCCCAUCUAUUGAGUUAGUUUCUAUGGUGUGUGAGUUCCAAGAGGUUUUUCCUGAAGAUCUGCCUGGUAUGCCUCCAGGCUUUGACAUUGAUUUUUGUAUUGAUCUAGACCCAGAUACUCGUCCUAUUUCUAUUCCUUCCUAUAGGAUGUCUCCAGCUGAGUUAAGGGAGCUAAAGGCUUAGCUGCAGGAUUUAUUGAGUAAGGGUUUUAUUUGUUCGAUUGCCUCUCCAUGGGGUGGUCCUGUCUUGUUUGUGAAGAAGAACGAUGGUAGUCUUCUUAUGUGUAUAGACUAUAGGUAGAUGCACAAGUUAUAUUCCAUAAUAGGUAUCCUUUACCCUAUAUCAGUGAUUAUUUAACAAGUUAUAGGGUGCAUCUGUAUUUUCUAAGAUUGAUUUGAGCUCCGGGUAUCAUUAGCUUAAGAUCGAGUCUGCCGAUAUUUCUAAGCCUGUUUUCAAACCCGGUAUGGGCACUUUGAGUUUUUUGUGAUGUCUUUUGGGUUGACUAAUGCCCCAACUACCUUUAUGAGUUUGAUGAAGGGGAUAUUUAAACCUUACUUGAAUUUUUUCAUGAUUGUAUUUAUUGAUGAUAUUAUGGUUUAUUAUAGAGUAAAAAGGAACUUGAGAAUCACUUAAGGAUUGUUUGGGUUGUUAGAAGAGAAAAAGCUUGAUGCGAAGUUUUCUAAGUGCAGGUUCUAGUAGGUUUCUUUCUACUGUUCUUCAUAGAUAAUGUGUGAUAUAUAUUGUGUAUGGAUAUGGAUGUUAGGCUUGAUUAUGAGUAGGAUGACUUGGCCUCGAUUGUUAAUAUUUGGAGUUUAUACGCUGGCUUGGGACCCGUAAAAUGUCAUGUUUAUACCCUUUCUAAAUUCUAUUGCUUUUCCUCUCUAGUUUAAAUUAGUUGUAGCUUAGUUAUGAUGUAAACCUAUGUUUGGGAUGUGGUUUUAGUAUUUGAAGCAUGAUUUGUAUAUUUAGCCUUAUAGGGCUAGUUUGAUAGUCUUGAAAUCAUAAGUUGCAUAGAGUUGACUUGAGUACCCUUGUUUCUAGUCAAAGUUGCUAGCUUGAAUAUGGCUUACUUGACAUCUAGAAGAUAAAAUUGAUACCUUAGCCUAGUUUGGGGCAUAGUUUUCCUAAUUAUGGAAAGUGAGGUUUAGAAGUGGGAUCGUCUGGCCCAUUUAGGCCUAAACUUAUGUUAAGUAUUAUGGACUUAAUUGCGGAUGUUAGACAUAGAUGAGGGUAGUAAACCUUAGAACAAGGUUACUUGAUAACUUGGUAACUUUUAUUGAUGUUCCCAGAUUGUGGCUUUUGAGUUAUAGUUAUGAUACUUCCUAUGGAUGUGAUAUUGGGCAUUUAGAGAUGCUAUUUCCUCUUAGACUUGAUGAUUGACCCAUAGAGUUGCUAUUUUCUUUAGUCAUGAUUAUUGGACCACUAGAGACAAUGUUCCUCUUAGAUAUGCAAAUUGGCCGAGAGAGGUGAUAUUCCUCAUAGUCAUGAUGUAUGUGACCUAUCGAUAUAAGAUAUCCUAUAGACGAUUACAUGUGUCAUCUAUAUUAUACCUCCAAUAUGUGAGAUACUUUCUAUAUGUGAGACUAUUAGAGAUAUGCUAUGGCUUAUAAAUAUGAUUAUCGAUAUGAGUUUUGGAUAUGUAUAUGGGCCUAAGGCCGUGAUUAUAAUGUUGUGACUAUCCGAAUAAAUUAAUGGGACAAGAACUGGGUUAUGAUAAUGAUUGAAUAUCCGAGGAAUGUUUACCAAUGUAAAUGAUAGGACUACAGUUUAUGAAUACAUAUAUUUUUGUAUACACAUAUCUUUGGUAUGGGAUGGUGGAAUAUACAGUAUGUUAAUUACGACUUUAUUGAUUGUAUACUGGUUAUGGCAUGCAUAGAUUUGGUACAUUCAUGAUUAUUAUUUCGGUAAUUGAUGUGAUUGUAACUGAAAUAUGAUCUUACAAUUGUUCUGCCUAAUUAACGGCUAAGCUAUGUGGGAACUAGUUGUCUAUUAGGGGACUAUUGCUCUUGAUGGCUAGGAAUCUAAUGUAUUAGUUAAUGAAUCUUGCUUAAUUGAAACAUGGUAGCUAGAGAUGGUUAAUGCGUGACUUAUAGUGGGUCGGGUCUAGCAGAGGUGAAAAUUAGUUGGUAUUGAUAACUAAGUUUGUGAUAUUGAUUAGUCGAUAAACAAGGUGUUGUGUGUUAAUGAGGCAAGAUGAUAAGAGAUGUUGGUAAUAAGAGGUGACUAGUUAAUAACUUUGAAUAGUUACUAAAUGGUUAACUAAUUAAUAGUUAAGCAAGGAUUGUUGGUAAACGAUAAUUAGAUAAUGAAUAGUGUCAGUUAAUAAAAGAUAGUUAGGUGACAAGUAGUAAUGCAUUGUCUUGUAAUGAUUACUGGAUAUAGGAUGAUUAGUAGAUAAUAAUGAAUGAUGGAUAAAUGAAGAUUUUGGUCUAGUGAUGAACCUUGACUAGAUGUUAGAUGCUGGCUAUUAAAUAAGUAGUGGUUAGUUGCUAUCCCAUGAACAAGGAUAACGUGGAGGAUAAUGUUUAGUCUAAUAACUAGAGGUUAUGUGAUGACUAGAUAAUGUUUAUAGGCGCGUCUUUUGGUUAUGCAAUGACUAGCGAACUAGUGAUUCUAUUAUAAUGAGUAUUGGUUAGCUAAUAACGAGUAGUUGAGAAGUAUUGACUAGAUAGAUAUUCUAUGAUGAUAUGACUAUUUUUAUGAGUAUUUUAGUGUAUAUUAUUUGGUAAUGACUAUUAUGAUGAUAUGUUGAUUACCGAAAAGGCUGGAGGACACUAUUAUGAUAAUAUGUUGAUACCUGUCAAGGCCAGAGAAUACUAUUGUGACGAUAUUGAUAUCCGACAAGACCGGAGGACACUGUUGUGAUGAUGUUGAUACCUAGAAAGGCUGAAGAAUACUAUUGAUGAUGUGUUGAUAUUCGGCAAAGUCGGAGGUUGAUUACGAUGAUGAUGGUCCUGAUGAAGAUAGUUAUGAUGAGUUGUGAUACUGGUUGUGUACUUUGCCUUUAUUCCUACAUGUGCAUCGCAUAUCACUAGUAUGCACCUAUAUUUAUCAGCCGGUAUAGGAUGGUUGCAUAUAUAUGAGUGAAGAAUAUUUCUUGUGUUUUUGUAUACUAAUUAAACCUUUUGAGUCUGGGGCGGUGGGGGUACGCAUAGGCUCGGCUAAAUAUUUGGUUGUCCGUAAGUUGAGUGCUAAGGAGAUUGCAUCUGUGAAGGUCCAGAAGAAGAAUCUUCCUAUUGAGGAGGUCACUUUUUGCUGAUUCAAGUAAUUCCUUAGUACUUUCCUUGUCGCUUGUUUGUCAUUAGGGGACAAACGAUUGUUUAAUUAGUAUCUGAUGUAACGACCCUCCCGGUCGUUUGUGAAAUACUUACAUCUUUCUUAUUAGCUCUUCUUUUAGUUUCUAUACGUAAUUUAUGACUUACAGAGAUAGAUAGUACCGAUUCUUGAUGUGUUCCAGGUGAUUAAGUCCUUUGUUGAGUAUUUUAGAUAAUUAAUUUAAUUAGUGAUUUAAUGAGUUCAAAACUCAUAAUUUAACUACUUAUGGGGUCAACACAAAAAAUAAAUUUAAGUUAGAAGGGUUUAUCGGGUAUAAUAAUAGAAGCAAAUGGUCACAAGAAAGAACGGUUAGCAACCAUAUUUCGUAUUCACCGCUUUAAAGAAAAUCUGUGACCUCUUACAGGUUUGUUUUCUAAUAUCUUUAGAAUUUGAUUUGAAACUAGUAAAUAAAUGUUGUGUAGUGAUUUCCUGUAAUUAUUGGCGUAGUUGACCAACAAAAGUAAUAUUAAAAUAGUAAUAUGAGAGAUAUGAGAUAUUCUUCAUAUUUGUGCUUUUAUAUGGAUUGGGAUAAAUCAGUGGAAACAAAUUUAUAUUAGGAUAGAUGGUCAUGUUUUAAUGAUGAUAUAUGGGUUUUUGGUGCUUGCAGUGUCAUGAUAGAACUAUUUUGUUCUUGGCAUCAGCAGCGUGCCUCGGAGAUUUGGAACUAACAAUUGUUACUUUUGACAGUAACAAUAUAGUAAUAAUAAUGUCAUAAUAAUAUUGAGGUUUAAGCGUAGAACAACGUUGUGUUUUAUAUGGAUGGAUUAUAUAAUUUGACAUGUUAUCAAAGUAUAUAUGUUUUGGGUUAUGAUUAUAUAUAUGUGAUCUAUUGAUAAAUUAUUCUGCACUAGCUAUUUGGUAUCAUUUUAUUUUAAUGGGAAUAAUCUUCUUACUAUUUUGUUAGUAGAUAAGACUAGAAUGAAUAUUUUAUUUUGCUAAACAAUUCGUUCAUGGCUAUUUGAUUGGAUUGGACUCGAUAUUCCCUUUUUGGCUAUUUGAUUUACUCAAUAUUGGCCAUUGAAUCAACAUAUUAUAUUCUUUACUCUCUAAAUCAACAGGAGCUACUGUUUUGAUUAUUUCUUUAGGUCUUAAGGGUAAAAACGUGUAAAAUAUGUGUCACUAGAUUCGUACUCUUAUUGGUAUUACAAUUUGAACAACUUUGAAAUAUUCAGAAGCUUUACAGAGUGGCAAGACCCUCGCACAGUAGCUUGCUUUCGAGUUCUUCGAUUGAGGUAGGUUAAGAUUUAAUUUGAGUUUAGACUCGACUUAAUUGUGUGUAUGCUCCUAAAUUAGAUACUUGUUGAUUGAUAUUCGGAUAUGCUUGAAAUUGUUGAUAUUUGGACUAUUGAUUCAUGUAUAAAUGAUUAUUAAAAAUUUACUUGAUGAAAUUGUCUUAUGACUUUAAGUUUACUUGUAAACUUGGUACAUUGUGUUGUAUGUUGUGAGGUAGUUUAAAUUUGAUAUUGAUAUUACUUUUUUAUAUGUUGGAUCGGGUACCACGCCGGUACGGAUAUGUAUAUGUUGGAUUGGGUACCACGCCUGUAUGGAUAUAUAUAUGUUGGAUCGGGUACCACGCCGGUACAGAUAUGUAUAUGUUGGAUCGGGUACCAUGCCGGUACGGAUAUAUAUAUGUUUGAUCGGGUACCACACUGGUAUGAAUGUUUAUAUGUUGGAAGGGGUACCACGCUGGUACGGAUAUUUAUAUGUUGGAUUGGGUACCACGCCGGUACGGAUAUUUAUAUGUUGGAUCGGAUACCAUGCCGGUACGGAUAUGUAUAUGUUGGAUCGGGUACCACACCGGUAAAGAUAUUUAUAUGUUGGGUCGGGUACCACGCCGGUACGUAUAUGUAUAUGUUGGAUCGGGUAGGUACCACGCCAAUAUGAAUAUUUAUAUGUUGGAUCGGGUACCGCGCCGGUACAGAUAUAUAUAUGUUAGAUCGAGUACCACGUCGGUACAGAUAUAUAUAUGUUAGAUCGGGUACCACGCCGGUACGGUACGUGAACAUCGAUUGUUCGCUGCAGGUCAUGACUAUUUGGGCAAAAAUAAGUCUCAUAGCAUGUGUGUAUGUAUUUAUGUUGAUUCUGUGGAUGUUUACAGUAUGGUUUAUAAUCUUGAUGGUUAUGUGGCUUAUUUGUGAGCACUUUUUGACCUGUUGUUGUUGUUGUAUUGUUGAUUCAUUGAAUAUUUGUUAUGUGAUGAUGCCUGUCUACUUGUUAUCUGAUUUAUGUUGUGUACAUGCUAUUAAAUUGAGUUGGCCUAUGAUACCUACCGGUACAUAGUGGUUUGUACUGAUACUACCCUGUACUCUUCUUUUGUUGAGUGCAAAAAGUGUUCUAGAGGCUCAAACAUGACCUUACCUCUAGAGUUUGAUAGCAGAUCUUGAUCCAAGGGUGAGCACUCCAUCUCUAGGCUUCCAUGGGUCAUCCUAUUUGUUCUUGUCCAUCUUUCGGGCAAUGAAAUAUUAUUUAUUUACUUUAUUUUUGGACAUCCCAUUGGACAUGAUCUUUGUUAGUAGUUCUUGUACGAUGACUUUCAGGUCUUGGGGAUUUUAGUAAGUAGUUUGUUUGAAUUCCGCAUUAACAGUGAUUAGUCCUGAAUUAUUGUUAUUAUGUUGAUUUUAUAAUAAUAUUAUCUUAAUAUUGAUUAAGUGAUUGGAUAAUGGUUCGAUUUAGAUGGUUCUCCCCAGGAAGAUUAGUGUGGGUGCCACUCAUGGCCAUUUGGGUCGUGAAAAUCUUUGCAUUAUUCACAGUUGCAAGUAGUGUGAUUAGGUUUGACACCCACGAAAGCUUUUGAUGAAAAUUGGGAAAAAAAUUAAAAGUAAUUCAUGUUAUAUGGAACUUCACUUUAGGACCCUCUUAGAAAACGAGACGUUAUUUUUCUGAAAUAUGGAAUCUUUCUUUAUCAUAAUCUUUUUGAGAUAAUUUUUGUUCUAGUUUUGAUUUUGAUUUCUGGAGUCCGCCUGGAGAACAGGGUGAUGAAAUUGCAAGUCGGGAGCUCGCCCAAAGAAUAGGGUGAUGAAAUUGAAAUUCGAGAGCUCGCUCGGAGAAUAGAGUGAGGAAAUUGCAAGUCAAAAGCCGGCCUAAAGAAUAGGGUGAUAAAAUUGAAAGACGGGAGGUCGCUCGGAGAAUGGAGUGACAAAAUUGCAAGUCGGGAGUCCGCUCGAAAAAUAGGGGGAUGAAAUUGAAAUUCGGGAGCUCGACCGGACAACAAAGUAAGGAAAUUGGAAGUCGGGAACCCGCCCGAAGAAUAGGGUGAUGAAAUUGAAAGUUGGGAGCUCGCCCGAAGAAUAGAGUAAAAAAAUUUCAAGUCGGAAGCGCACAUGAAAAAUAGGGUUAUGAAAUUGAAAGUCGAGAGCUCACCCUAAGAACAGAGUGAGGAAAUCGCAAGUCGGGAGCCCGUCUGAAGAAUAGAGUCAUGAAAUUAAAAGUUGGGAGCUCACCCAAAGAACAGAGUGAGAAAAUUGCAAGUCGGAAGCCCACCCAAAGAAUAGGGUGAUGAAAUUGAAAGUCGGGAGCCCGCCCGAAGAACCUGGUGAAGAAAUUGAAAGUUAAGCAACAAGGUGAAACAAUUGAAAGUUAAGCAACAAGUUUAAGAGAUUGAACGUCUAGCAACAAGGUGAAGCAAUUGAAAGGCAAUAAAGUGAGGAAAUUACAAGUCGGGAGCUCACCCGAAGAACAGGGCGGUGAAAUUGAAAAAUCAAAAGAUCAAAAAUAGCAAGUCAGGAGUCCGCCUGGAGAACAAGGUAAUGAAAUUGAAAUUCAAGCAACAAGGUGAAAAAAUUGUAAGUCAGGAGCCCGCCUGGAGAAUAGGUUGAAGAUUUUAAAUUCAAGAUCAAGGUUCAGAAGUACCACCGACAGAACAUGGUCAAUUUAUGAGUUCAUCUCCAACAUCAGAUUUUGUAUGGAGAAAGAAUCUGUUCUCAAGUUCAAUCCAAAGAAGAUCGGGUCUUUUCUCAAUUCUGAAAGCAUCAGAAACUCAAGUCAAGAGUCCAAAAGAAGCUGCAUAGAUAGUACUUUUGUAAUUUCAUUUAUCUAUUUAACUUGUAAUUUUCAUUUUUGAUGUAAUGACAGAGCCACAGAUCGAAACCUCGACAGGACCUCACUCGACUCUCCAACUCGAUAUAGUCCUUUUUCUUUCCUAGCCAUUGAGAUACCUGUGACUCGAUGCCCUCAUAAUCUGGGUAAGUAGGAUGUCCAAGAUCAAAACUUGAUUGCCCUUCUUCCUUUUGAAUAAUGCUUGGGACAAAAGUUUGUCUCGUUGUCUACUUCAUUGUCUGAAAACACUUUGUGUUUACAUCUAAAGGGGGCAUACUGUAGACACGUAAUUUUAUCCCUCCAAAAAUUAUUUUAACCAUUUUCUCCGUUUUACCACGCACCCCAAUCUCAUUCCAUAAUUUUUUAACAAAAUGACAAAAUAAUAACCAACUAUAAAUAAAUUUUAUCCCAAAAUUCCCGCAUAAUCCCAAUUGAAACAAACUAACCAUCCUUCCCUAUCAAAUUUUGACAAAACAUUACCACCCCCACCCCUACCUUACCUCACCCUCUUAUUCUUACUUGCGUACACCCCUUCCUUGCGUUUACUCUUUUUGGGGAAUAUAUACACAUGACAACAAUACAAUUAAGGGGGAGGGAACAACAAUAUACAUACACUCACAGGAUUCCAUCAUCUUUCAUUUUUUUAUGACAAUAUACACACACACAUAAGAUGUACAGAGCUUCCUCACUAUUUCCUCUCUCAAAACAUACAUACACCUCAUACACACACAUACCCCUCAAUUCACCAACACACAGUUCCCACAACCCAUAUUAUUCAAAUUACACACACAGUAAUUCUCACAUACACACUGAAAAUCGGAGGGAGAUUGAGAGUGAUGAAAGAGAUCAAGAAAGACAGAGAGUGAUCGAAAAACUGAGAGGAGAGAGGAAACAGACAUCGAACCACACUGUUCCAACAAAAACCCAUCGGAAAUUAUUGAAAACUCAGCUGAUAUUCCAAUUCCCAUCGCUGCCAGAGCUUGCCGAAGCUCUGGAAAAAUAGUAACAACAAAACAUCCCUCUCCCGUCCCCAUCUUCGAUGAGGUCGUUGGAGAAUAAAUUCCAAAUCGACCUGACCAGUCCCAUAUCCGGUGGAAAUUAUUAAAAAAUGAACUUAGCAGUAGUGGGGUGUGCGAAUUUGGGUACGGGUCUUUUGUUAUUUUCUCAAUUUUGAUCCGGGUUGGCAAAAAAGAGAGAAAAAGGGUAUAUCGAGGUCAGAUUUGUUAGUCAAGGUUUGAAUUGAAGUUUUCUCGGUACGGUUCUAUCUUUGAUGUAUCAUAAUCGACAAUUGAGGUCCAAUUCUACUCUUUUCCUCUUUUUAUUUUAUUGUUUAUUAUAUUUGAUAUGUUGGAUUGAAUAUCGUGUGUUGUUUGAUCCUUGUUGGUGAUGAAUAGUUGCUUGGUAUCGAUUCAUUGUUGAUUCCGUUGAUUCUGUAUGAUGCGAUAAAAUGAUAUAUCACUUGAGAUUUGAAAUCGAUCAUUUGAGUAUACAAUUGGGGGUGGGAAUUAAAAGAUUGAUAAGGUAAAUGUUGAUUAUUUUUUUUCAUUGAUGGAUAUGGUUGAAAUCGAUAGUAUCAUGUUUUAGAUCAUUAAAUGGGUAGGCAAAUACUAAGUUUGGAUAGGCAAAUUGUAGAAAUGGAAUAUGAUAAUUUGUUGAAUGUGUGGAUAUCUUUUUGAAUGCUUCUUUCUAUUUUUAAUGCACAAAAUUGAAAAAAUAUAUUCAUUUUACCGGGGAAUUCCUCGAGGUCUUGUGGACUUAUUCACCGGGGAAUGCCCCGAAGUAUCUUGUACUCGGAGAGCAUUCGUGAUGAAGGCCCGAGGCAUCGUGUAAAGCAUUGGAGUGUAGUUUAGGAUUAGUCUAGAGUGAACAUUUUCUAUUUUUGGAACUAUAAUAAUUGGACUGAACACUAUAUUUUUGGACUUGUUUUGUUUUGUUUUGUUUGUUUGUUUGAUUUUUUUGUGUGUUUUAUGUGCUUUAUACAGUCAUAGUGAUAAAUUAGCCGAUAUGCUCUACCAAGCGACCGUGGUCGAACCACUAAAUUGAGGGGUGCCUAAUACCUUUCCCUCGAUCAACAAAAUUCCUUAACUGGAAUCUCUAUUUGUGGAUCAGUUUUAAAGAGUCAAAAUCGUUUUGAAAAAGGAUAUCCAAGGGUGACUUGGCACACCCGAUUUAUGCCAAGUGGCAACUCUAAGAUUUGAAUAUAAAAAAUCCUUUUCAAAACAAAUCUUCAUUUUGUCACUUAAUAGUAAAAAUCCUUUUCAAACCUUAAAUUAAUUCUUUUUGGUUAAAAAAAGGGUGUGACAGAAGAAAAUAUUUGAUAUGACUAUUGUAUUAUAAUAGUUUAGUGUACUCGCUUUGCGCGUGUACCUAUAUGUUUAACGCUAACAAAACAAGUGAACCUUAAAAUAAUUUAGUUUUAAUAUAUAGUUAUGUUAAUCUUUCAUUUUUUUCUAUUAUUAUAUAUUUGUUUGUGAUAAUUUAACGCAAAAUGGUUCACAAUGAGCCAAUCACAUGCUUCUUAUCAUUAUUAAGUUUUUUGUCAUGUUAAAUUCCUUUUUCAACUUCAAUUCAUGUUUCUUAGACAAAUCCUUCGUCAAUUCUGCUUAAUAAUCUAUAUUAUUAUCAAGUAUGAUCAAAAAGAAUUAUUUGUAACAUUUUUUUGGGGGGUGGGGGGUGGAGGAUGGGUGGGUUGAUAAAAAAUAGGUUAAAAGAAAUAGCAUUAGAGAUUAUUAAGGGUCUCUAUUUACAACUAUCUCUAGUAUACUAUUUCCUCCUUCAAUUUAAUUAAAUUUUCCAUCCAAAUUUCAUUUUUUCCUCUCCAAUUUAUUCAUUUAGCUUCUUCUUCUCCACCUCGACUUUCUUUUCCUCUCCCUAUAUCAACUUCACCCCAACUAUAUUAAUUAUAGCAAGCUUUAGUGCAACAUUACAACCCCAUCGAUCUUUCCCCUCUAUAGUUCACAUUAUAAUUAUCAUCAAGAACCACAUGAGUUGUAUGAGCUACCGCUAAUGGAUUAGAUUAAUUCGAUAUUUCAAAAUUAAAAUUUAGAUAUUAAAAAAGUAUAUGAAAAAUACUAUAACUUUUCUCAAAUCUGUAUGAUAAAAAAUAUAUCUUAAUAUAUUGAUAAAAAUUCAUGUACUUUGACUCUCAAAAAAGAAACUAUAAUAAGUAUUUUGAAACGAAAGAAAUAACUAUCUUUUGUAGAUAAGUGAUGGUUCAAUUUUCCAUCUAAAAGUAUUGUUCGAAACUGAAACAUACACUCUUUCUCUAACUAUUGGUUCUGGAGGAUAUAUUAUUAAUCAACAUGCAUGCGGAGGCAUAGAAAAUAUAUAUGUCAUGCAACAGAGUUAAGUGGUGCUUAGACUUAAUUUUUAUGGCAAUAAGUCUCUACCUAGCUCAAAGCAUUUCAACUAAGACAUGAAUAUAAGAAAAUUCAAGUUAUCAUACAACUCCACAUAACAAUACAUAAAUUUUAUCCAAAUCUUUUCAAAUAAAUACUAAUGAACAAUGAAUGAUAAGAAAGUACCUCAAUGAUAUCAAUAUUGUUGGUGAAGAGUGUAUCGACUUUCUGAUUUUGAAGACAAACUAAAUCAAAAUAAAAAUAAAAAGAAAUGUUAGAAUGCUAUAAACAUUAAAGAAUGAGAAGAAAGUACCUCAAUAACACCGAGAUUGUUGAUGAAGAGUUCACCGACUUUUCAUUUUCGAAGAAAAUUUAAAUCAAAAUCAAAAUAACAAGACGUAAAAAUCUCAAAAACACUAAACAAUUUACAAAUUCGUAGGCCAAAAAAAAGUGCGAUAAUUUUACCUUGUCAUAUUCCAAUGAACAUAAACUCAUUUAGCAAUCAACAACUACGACAUAAAUUAUCAGAAAAUUCACGUUAUCACACAACUUCGCAUAACAAUACAUAAAAUUCCAUCCAAAUUCUUCUAAAUGAGAAGAAAGUACCUCAAUGACAUCGAGAUAUUGUUUGUGAACUUUUUUUGUAGAGAGUCCAAGACUUUCCAUUUUUAAAGCUAACUCCUUUUAUAAAAGUCUAUUGAUAAAACCUAAAAGAAUUUGAUUUAGAACUUCUAUAAGAUUUGUAUUACAAAUAUAUUAUUUGUAUUAAAUUUGGAUUUAGUUUUUAUAUUACUCAUAUAUUUUUUGUAUUAAAUAAGGAUUCAGUUUUCUUAUUUUUAAAAAAAUAAUACAAGUUUUAAUUAAUUAUUUCUUUGUUUCUCAAAAGAAGUAUGUCCUUCUCAAAAAUAAGGGAGUUUAUAAUUUGUAACAAACAAACGGUUUUAAGUUUUUCUAUUUUUCAAAAAUAAGUCAAGUUUGCAUUAAUUAGUUCUUUGUGUUUGAAAACUAAUACGACCUUCUAUUUUGUAAAAAAUGAAAAAAUACUCCUAACAUUAAUUUCUAAUUGAGUUUUUUCCUAAUUUAUGAGAGUUGUUUUUCAUUCUAAUUGAGUCUUUCUUUUUCUAAUUUAGCAACAUGAAAACAUUAAUAAUAUUCUCCUUCCUAUAUAUUUUAGGAGUUUAGUUAAUACUAUAAAUACAAUAAUAUAAUAAUCUGAGAAAAUAAGCGAAAAUACGAUUUUAUCGAUUGCAGAAAUUUUUAAUGAAGGGCAAAAUGUUCAAAUCACUUUUCUAAGGGUCUUCACACUUUUAAUAUAUUAUAAAUAUAGAUUAUUAUUAUUGGUUUAUGUUUAGUAGUUAGUAUUAGAGUUUGGAAAAUGACCCAAAAAAUAAGUAAUGCUAAGAAUAAAACAUGAAAAAGAAAUAAUUAUAUUUUUUUCACUACUAGAAAAGUGUAAAUUACAUAGGGAUUUUUCUGGAGAUUAUAUAUGAAAAUUCGCAGGUAACCUAGUUUUCUGCAGAUUUUCCUACAAAAAAAAUUCGAUGAAAAAAACCUUCGUAGGUAAUUAUUAUCUACGGAUUUUAAAAUCCCUAAGUAUGUUACAUGAGAAUUUUGAAACCGUAUAUAAAUUACCUACGAAUUUUCAUGUAAAAAAGUUGAUAAAAAUUGAUGAAAGAAGGUAUAUUUCUUACAAAUUUUUAUAGGAAUAAGGACUACGGACUAGUCACACUGUUACUUUUCAUGAAUUUGCAUACAAUCCUCUCUCUCCAUUUUGUUAACCCACACCAUUUUUGGUUCAUUGUUUCAAAUUUAUUUAAUUUUCUUACAUUUAGUUAUUUAAUUCUUAAGACUAGAAAUAUUAGACUUCCAAGAGAAGUGAAUAAAUCAAUCACCUAUUUUCUCUAAGGCUACAUGCCUUAAUAUCUCAUAUGUACAUUUAUUACUUGCUUACUACUUAGUAAUAAAGCACAUAAUGUAGCUUUUCUGUAUCCGAUGUGGUACAAAAUCUACAUGGUGCAAUUCUUCUGCUUUCCCCAUUCAAUAAAUUAUGAUUGUCAAUUUUUUUUCAUUUGUUCUUUUUUUGACAUAGCUAUGUAAGUGUGAGACGAAAUUUAAAUACAAUUAACGUUGAGUAAAUUCAUAGAUUUUUAUGUCAUUGAAACAAGAGAGUGUUGCUUGGAUGGUAAGCACCCCUUACUUUCAAUCUUGGGAUUGUGAGUUCGAGUCAUCUAGAGAGUAAAAAAUAUUUAUGUCUUUGUAAACAAUAAAUAAAAGGUUGAAAAUCAUUUAUAUUUUUUCAAUUUUCCUUUAAAUUUCAAAUACUUUAAUCUUCAAAACCGAAAUAAAAAUCCGAAAUAAAAAUCCGAAAUAACUGAACCAAAUUUAUAGAAAUCAAACCAAAUCGAAUUUAUUUUGAUUUGGUUACGGUUGUCAUUUUCGUCAAUUCAAAAACCGAAAAACUGAAUCGAUAUUAAACAAGUAAAUUGAACAAACCGAAUGUCCACCCCUAAUCAUGUAUAUAAUUCUAAAACUACCAAGCACUUUCAACUCAAUAUAAAAUAAAAUAAUUUUUUAUUUUAUUUUGUGAUUAUUAUAUCUUAUAUCUCACACCAAACAACUCCUAAAUGUAUAUUAUAUUGAUAUAUUAUAUUAGCAUGCGUAGGAUGACGCUUUGCAAUUAUAUUGAAAUUAACCAGUAGAAAUCAAUAGAAAAAUAUGCUCUAUUUGAGCCCUAAGUCGUCCUUUUAAUUUCUUUAGCAUUUUUUGCUUGAUCAUACGUGUCCAUUGAUUUAAUGUCUAAUUUCUUUUAUUUUAUGUUUUUUUAUCCUUCAAGUUUAUCCUUUUCCUAUUUAAAUUUUUCAGGUCACAAAAAGCAUACGUAAAUCCCCAAAAAAUAAUUUUCAGUUAAAUUUAUAGCAACACAAUUCUCCAAUAAUUUCUCAAGUAACAAUUUUGCAGGUAAAUCCCCAAGAAUAGAUCCCCAGGAAAAUUCGCAGCAAAUAAUCCCUAAAUAAUUUCUCAGGUAAUAAUUUUGCAAGUAAAUCUCCAAGAAUAAAUCCCCAGCAAAAUUUGCAGCAAAUAAUCUCCAAAUAAUUUUUCAGAUAAUAAAAUCCUUCACAUAAAUUUCCACCAAAAUAUCUCUUAGUAAAUCUGUAGGAUAAAUUACCUGAGAAUUUUCCUAUGGAUUUAAAAAAUAUAUAUAUUUGUCCAUAUAUCUGCGGAUUUACCUAGAGAUAAUAUAUCCGCUGAUUCAUAUUUUCAGAUAAUGCAGCAAGUACGAAAUUUACACAAUAUGACGCCAAAUUUACCUGCAAAAUUUGUUGCAAAUAUAUAGUUCGCAGGUAUUAUAUUUUAAUAUUGAGGAAUUUAAUAUUUUCGUAAGUAAAUCCGCAUGUAUUUCCUACGAUAUUAUUCCCUAAGUAAAAUUUUCAUGUAAUUUACAGUUUUCUAGUAGUGUUUGAUAUAUUAAAAAUGACAAGUAAAAAUAAAAAUUUAUUUUUGCAAGGACAUGUAAAAGUAAAUCAGAGAGAUUUAUGAAAGGUAUUUAAUACUAAGUGUAGAAAGAAUAAAAUAUAUACAUAAAAUUCUCUUAAUUUCAUAAAUUAGACAAGUAAAUUAAAGCAAUUAUUUGUAAAAGGGCCAAGUAAUAAACGGAGGGCUAUGCCUUAUCGUACUAAUUUUUUAUAUUUAAUAAAAGCAAAACUCAAAAGAAAAAGUACAAGAAAGGAGGGCUAUGCCUUAUCAUACUAAUUCUUUUAAGGCUUAACAAAUCCUCUUCUAAUUAACAUGCACAUAAAAAGUAAGAAGAAGAAAGAACUAAAUAUUCUCGAUCAUCACAAAGUUUAUAACAAAUUCUAUGAUGAUACUGCAAUGAUAAUAAUUAGUUAGUGAAAAAAUAAAACAAGUAAGAAUGUAGAGUUAGAUCCAUAUUUGUAUUAAAAUAUGAAAUCUUCAACAAGAUAUAGCUCGAGAAAAUUUUAACUCUUCACAUUGUCUUCUUCCUUCGAUCGCUCCAAAAUAUUUUGAUACUUCAUAAAUUCUUCUUGAAUAUAUUGAGUCUUGUUGAUGUUGUUGAACCUCGUUUCUUGUGUUUUGUCACCCAUAUUAGUAGUUAUUAAAUUUGUAACUCAAUAUAUGAUUUAAUAAAUUUCCUUCUAUAAAUUUUUUUGUACAAUGGCAUCUGAAUCAGCUUGUUUUUUUUUUUUUUAAAACUAUAAUAACAUUUCUUAUCAAAGUAAAUCAUUUUUUUUUCACUCAAUAAAAGGAGAGUAGUUAAUUUUUGCGCCAGCCUUGUAGCUAAAAUUUAAUGACGGCCUACCCGUAAGGACUUAGAUCACUUUUAUUUCCUCAUCGAUCAAUUUUAUAAAAGAUACUACUUAUUAGAGUGAGUGCACUUUAAAGUUUUAAGAUCUGCUCCAUUAUUUCCAUCGAAUCUUAGAUUUUCUAUUACAUUUUUUAAAUAUGGGUCUUUUUAACUUGCCCUUUCUGUUCGUUAUUGUUUAUAGGCCAUUGCGAAAUACUUAGGUUUAGAGGAUAAUUUCCCUGUAUCACGUAGAAGCAAUAUUUAGAAUUUUAACUCACUGUCUUCUUUCAUAUCUGAUCAAACUAUGAGAAGAAAUUUAUAUGACUAUCACCUUCUUUGACUAUAUCAUUCAAUCUUUUUACAACAUAGUUUAUUGCGUUAGCUUUAUUAAAAAUUGCAAAUAAGUAUCUUUUUAAAUCAUAAUGAUUCAUUAAUUUUGACAUAAUAGAAGUAAGUGGGUCAUACAAUAAAUAUUUUACAUAUGUUUUUUUCUAUAUUAAUUUGACUAGCAGUUGACCAUAUAUAAAUAUUGGAUUAGAUUUUAAAAAUUUAUCUUUAGAAAAUUGAAUUUGAUUUUUAUUCUCAUCUUAUUGUGUAUCCUACCCUCUUAACAAAAGAACAAAAAUAAUCAAAUUCCUAAUAUUUCCUUAUCUUAAUAAACUUUAUCUCAACCAAUCCACAUCCCUCAUCCAAUCUCCUACCCCUACCCCUACACCCCACGUAUUCCCUUACCCUCUCAUGUUUUAUUCGAUUUGGAACCAAUUCACAAAAAGGACAAAAAGAGGGGACCCACAGGAAUUUUCCACACAUUAAGGGAUCCAUUAAGAGUAAAAUAUAUAUACACACGCCAUUAUAACAAAAAAAAGGGAACUCACAAGAAAAAGAGGCACAGAUUCUACACUACAUCAUCACUGAAAUUUUCCACACUCCAGAGAUGACUCUCCUCCAUCAUCAUACAUAUACGCACAUUCACAGCAACACAUAAGGCGGGAGGGCUCAAUUUUUUUUUUUUUUUCCAUGGAUCCCUGAUUCAUCUUUUACACAGUCACCAUCAUAUAAACACAACACACACUCUCAUAGAUUCUUCUUCUACACACAACUCACACGCAUACACAGUGAUAUCGAUGUAAAGAGGCGAGAUAUCAAUGAAACAGCGAGAAAUUGUGAGAGGAUGGGAGCAAAGCAGUAAAAAAAUAGAACAAGAUAGAUUGAUUCUCGGGUUUUUCCGGCGAGAUUUCUGCCGGAAGUGACGACGGCUCGUCCAAAUAACCCAACCAGUGCCAAAAUCCCCCAGAAAUCUCAUCGUUGUUAUUGAGUUUUAGGUGAAAUCCCGCCGGAAAUAAUAUCCCAGUAGAUCGUUAGUCCUAAACCGGCCAUUCGGGUUGAUUCCGGCGAGUUCUCACCGGAAAUCAUCAGACGGGUUCUCAGCUUCUUGUUGGAAGUUUUGGUUUCAGGUUGUUUUUGUCUAUUUUCCGCGAUUUUUGUUCGAACUGGUGAAAAACAGAGCAAAAGUUGAAAUACCGAGGCUUGGUUUCGUUGUUUGGAUCUGUUUCGGGGUUCAUCGGUUCACGAGGCUUGAAAUCGAUACAAGUUGAUUGAAUAAAAGGAACAUUGAGGUACAACUCUAUCUUUUCUCUCUUUAAUUUUAACGUAAUUGUGAGUAUUUUGUGUGCUUACCAUGUUUGAAUCGUCAUAGUGUAUUGUUUGAUGUUGGAGUUGGAUGUGAAAUCUUGAUUGGUGAAUCACGUAUGAAAUUAGUUUAAUCAUGUUGAGAUUGAAUUCGGGGUGAAAUUGAGAAAUUGACAAAACAGUGAAUUUGGAUUGAUUAAGACUUUGGUUUAAGUAUGAAUAUUGUUGAACACAAUAGUAGCAUGAUUAGACCAUUAAUUGGUAGGCAAAUUCUAGAUUUUGAGGUAAGCAACUCAUAGGAUUCUAAUCAUCAAAUGUGUAAAUGUUUGUGUUGAGUGAUUUUUCCCAUUUUAUCGCUUAAAAAUAUACUCAUUUGGUCGGGAAUGCUCCGAGGAAUUUGUAUUGAUUUAUUCGGGGAAUGCUCCGACAUAUCAUGUAUGUAAAGGAGGUUCGUGAUCAAGGCCCGAGACAUCGGGUAAGGCAUCGGACCGUAGUUUUAGGAUUAGAUUUGAAUAUGUAAUGACCCUUACGGUCAUUUUACUGUAUUUUCAUAUAAUUGUAGUACUAUCUAUCUAUAUAUAUAUCGUGGAUUAUUUAAUUUAAUUUGACAUUUUGCAAAAAUAUAACUUAGUAACCUUCUAAAAUAUUUUCGAUAUUUAUAAAAUUCUUUAAGUCAUGAGAUAUUUAUCUCACUUUAUAAUAAACUUUUAUAAUUUGUUAAUAUUGUAAGCGGAGAUAGUAAUUUUAGAAAAAUAUUAAAAUAUUAUUAUUAUAUAAUAGAGGUUUUGUUAGAAAUAAUUUUCUAUUAAUUAUGAUAUAUUCAAAAUAUUAUAAUUAUUUUAUCAUGAAUUUAUACAAUACCAGAUUAUGUACACAAUGUAGGAAAAAUAAGGCAACCGUUCACGUGGAAAUGAAUGGGUGGACCACUUUUGUAAUCAUCCAAUUUAAUUGCCAUGUGUUACUCCUAACGUAGCAUUUCAAUAUUUUAUCAAUCAAUGAAUAAGACAUAAUGGUCCCUCUCUCUUUAUUAUAUAUAUAUUUGGGCUUUCCAUUUUUGGAGAGAAAUUUUAGAAAGCAAAGUGUAUGUUAUUACCAGUUCCCUUUCGCCUUUUUUUUUUUUAUGUGCUAAACACAUAGCUAUAAUAUUUUUCUAAAAGAAGUUUUGGCGGAUGUACUUGUUCUUUUAAUCAAUUAUCUUCUGCAAGUAAUUUGAGAUUGGGUUUUUCGGAGGCUUUUUGGAAGAAUUAUAGCUUUGGCGUUCAGGUAGGUUAGGUUUACCCUAUUUUUAGAUUGAGCUUACUUACUGAAAAUCUUAACUAUUAUGUUAGCUUUGGAUAAAUCCUUGUAGAUGCGUAUUUUUGAUACAUAUAAAUUGUCUUAUUUAUUCGAAUUAGGGCCCCGUUUUAGUAAAUUUUUGGAAAACUUAUCUCUUAAUAUAAUGUAACAUGUAUCACUUUGGGACGUAAAUAUACUUUUUAUUUGAAAGUAUAGUUGUAUACAUAUAUAUAUAUUUGCUUCUCUUCAUCAUCCUCCAAUAUACCUUUAGAAAUGGUUAUAUGAAACGUGUAUGCAUAUAUAAUUAUUUGAAAAGCAUAUAUGUAUAAGAGUAUAUAUUAAGCAUAUGAUAAUAUAGACAUAUAGUAUAUUUAUUAAAUUACAAAACCUUGAAUUUAUCCCUUUUUAAGAUUAAAGAAUGAUUGUUUAGACAUUGUUAUGAUAUGGUAUGAAUUUUAUUAUUUUCGGUGGUUAUGGUUACUAUGAGUUCCGGUUCGAGUCCGGCAAAUGAUUUUUAUGGUUACUAUGAGUUCCAAUUUGAGUCUGGCAAAUUAUUAUUAUGGUUACUAUGAGUUUCGGUUCGAGUCUGGCAAAUGAUUAUUAUGGUUACUAUGAGUUUCGGUUCGAGUCCGGCAUCUGCUUAUGAGUUCUAUAUAUAUGGCCUCUCGUUAUUACCCACUGGUGCCGGUUCAAGUCCUGUGCACAUCUGGAAAACUAUUAUGAUUUAUGGUGAUCAGCGCAGUUAUAGACUAUUUAUGUUUAUUUUCAUUACUUGUGUGUCCCACCGGCUUAUGGGGGUACGGAUGGUUUAAUUGUCUUCUUUAGUGUGCCUAGCGGGCUUAUGGGGGCCCAGCUAGGUUAUGUUUGAUUUAUCUAUUAUUACUGCAUUAUUAUUUUUUGGUAUCGCAUAAGUUUAUUCCUUUACAGCCAUUGCAUAGCUUGGUAGCUGUUUACCUUUCCAUUCCUAUCUACUAAUGACUCAGAUUACGCCCUCGCAUUGUAGUUAUACCUUUUCUGUAUUACGCUCAGUCGGGCGAUGAUGCCUACUGAGUACCCGUAAGUUUUGGUACUCAUACUACACUUCUGCAUCUUUUUCUGAUGCAGCUCAGGGUAAUAGCAGUCGACGUUAACGUGGUUCCUACCUUCCAUCAUUGAUUUAGAGCAGGGUGAUCUUAUUGUCGUCUGAGGCUGAUCCUCUUCUAUCUAUUCCAGUUAGUCUUUUGUUCUCGAGACUGCUUGUGUAUAUUGUGUACAUUUUAUAUUUUUGUCUAGUACUCUAGGUACCUUUUAGUAAUGGCUCUAGUACUGACCUUAUCAGGUCUUGGGAGGGAUUCAUUGUAAGUUGAUCCUUUUUCCUCAUCUCGUUUUGAUAUAAUAUAUAUGCUCCUUUCUUAGUUUUUACUUAUUAUUAUUAUACAUAAUCCUUUAUUUGGUCUCUGCCUGUUAGCCCGUUACUUAUAAUUUCGGACUAUGGCUUGACUUGCCUACUUGUGGGUUAAAGUAGGCGCCAUCAUUACUUGAGAAAUCGGGUCGUGACAGAUUGGUAUCAAAGCAUAGGUCUUACUGGUAUUGUUAGUACUGGAGCUGAUGUUUAGUUGAGUCUUGCGGAUCGGUACGGAGACGUCUGUAUCUUAUCCUCGGGAUGCUACCGAGCAUUUUUAGGAAAAAAAAUCUCAUUAUUGAUCCAUUUUGUGCAUUAAGUCUGGGUUGGUUGUAAUCUUCUUUCAUUGGCUCACUGUUUACACAGAUGGCUAGGACGCGAGGUUCAAGAGCGGGCGGUCGGGGCCCGGGGCACGCUUCUAGAGUUCUAGCUUGGGGUUGAAGUCGACCCAGAUAUCAGGGGCAGGGUAGAGCAGCACAGGGUGGUGUUGACUUAGUGGCACAGCCUGCGGCAGCGAUGCUUAGGGUAGAGAUUUUGCUAGCACCAGUAGUCCCACAACCGGUAGUAGCCCCGCCAGUUAUAUCUUCGGAGGGGCAAAAAAUAUUAGGCCAAUUUUUGAAAUUGACUCCACCCAGAUUUACCAGGACACAAGGAGAGGAUGCUAUGGAGUUUCUAUCCAGUUGUGAGGAGCGGUUGCGGAAUUUGGGUUUGGUUGAAGCACGGGGAGUAGACUUUGUUUCUUAUCAGUUCGACACAGCAGUGAGGAGGUGGUGGAGUGGUUAGCUUGAUUCUAGGCCAGCUGGAUCUCCCAGUGACUUGGACCCAGUUCUCCGAGGCUUUCUUAGGGAAGUAUAUGCCUCGUAGCAUGCGUGAGCGUCUCCGAGAUGAGUUUACAGCUUGGGACAGGGUUCUAUGAUCGUGUCUGAGUAUGAAGUGAUAUUCCAUGAGUUAGCCAGACACGCCACUAUGAUUCUGGAAACGGAGUACGAACGAAUUUGAUGCUUUGUUAGGGGAUUGAGGUUGUCACUUCGUAGGGUUACACAGAGUUUGGUGACUUUAGGGAAGUCUUUUUUGGAGAUAUCCGAUCAUGUUUAUUCCAUAGAGGAGAUGGAUCGUGAGGCUUAAGAGGGCAGCGAUAAGAGACCACGUUGCCAGGGCAGUUAUAGCGGUUCUCAGUUCUCAGGCCGAGGAUUUCAUGGUAGAUACCCCCAUCAACAGCCUUUACAGCAUCAGGGUCAGCCUAGUCGGCCAGUUCAGGCAUCACUUCAGAUAUCCGACCUGGGCUCAGCCCGGCUAUAAUAGUUCCAGUGGUCAGAGUAGCAGCCAGCCAUAGAAGGUUAUUCAGCCAGGAUUGUCGAGUAAAGGUGGUCAUUUUGGAUUCGCCGGACCUUCUAGACAGAGCAGGGUGCCCAGGAUAUGUUAUGACUGCGGGAUUAUUGGUCACUUUGCUCGUGAGUGCCCUCGGCGUAGGAUGAUUGGGCCUUCAGUUCUGAAUGUGCAGCCGAUUAGAUCAGUGUCGCCGUUGGGUAAAGGUAGUGUACAGGGUCGUGGAGGUGAUCCCCAGGGUUGUAGAGGUGGUCCACAGGGAGGUAGGGCAAGUGGUUGGGCAGGUACCCAGUCCAGUAGUGGACAGGGUCAUUUAUAUGCCGUACCAGGUAGACCAGAGGCUGAGGCUUCAGAUGCCAUGAUCACAAGUACGAUAUUCGUAUCCCAUCAGACAGCUUCUGUUUUGUUUGAUCCCGGUUCCACACUUUCAUAUAUUUUUGCUUAUUUUGCAUCGCGACUGGGUUUAUGUUCGGAGUCUUUAUCUGUGCCAUUACGUGUGGCUACCCCACUAGGUGAUUCUUUAGUAGUGGAUCGGGUAUAUAGAUCUUGUUUGGUGACUAUUCAGGAGUUUGAUACUCAUAUUGACCUCAUUGUCCUAGAUAUAGUAGAUUUUGACGUGAUUCUAAGCAUGAAUUAGUUGUCUCCUUACCAUGCGAUCUUGAAUUGUUUUGCUAAAAUCGUUACUUUAGAUUUGCCUGGCAUAACCCCAGUUGUGUGGCAGGGUUCCGUUAGCCGUGCACCGAUGGGGAUUAUUUGGUACAUUCGGGAUAGGAGACUGAUAUCGAAGGGUUGUGAGUCUUUUCUUGCAUAUAUCAGGGAUGUUAGUGUUGAGAGUUCCCCGCUUGACUCCGUCCCUGUUGUUCGUGAGUUUUUUGAUAUAUUUCCGACCGACCUACCUGGCUUUCCUCUUGAGCGUGAUGUAGAGUUUAUUAUUGACCUCGAGCCAGGCACCCAACCUAUUUCUAUUGCUCCAUAUUGUAUGGCUCCUGCUGAGUUGAAGGAGCUGAAUAGUCAGCUUGAGGAUCUUCUAGGUAAGAGUUUUAUCAGACCGAGUGUAUCACCUUAGGGUGCUCCAGUUCUGUUUGUAAAGAAAAAGGAUGGAUCCUUACGUAUGUGUAUCGAUUACAGGCAGUUGAAUAAGGUGACGGUGAAAAAUAAGUAUCCUAUGCCUCGCAUUGAUGAUUUGUUUGAUCAGCUUCAGGGAGCGGCGGUGUUUUCUAAAAUUGAUUCGAGGUCUGGUUACCAUCAGUUGAGAGUUAGGGCUGCGGACAUCCCUAAGACAGCCUUCAGGACUCGUUAUGGUCAUUAUGAGUUCUUGGUGAUGUCUUUUAGGUUGACAAAUGCUCUAACAGCUUUUAUGAAUCUGAUGAAUCUCGUGUUCAGGCCAUAUUUGGACUCCUUCGUGAUAGUAUUUAUUGAUGACAUUCUUGUAUAUUUGAGGAGUAAGGAGAAGCACGAGCAACAUUUGAGGACUGUGCUCCACACUUUGAGAGGCCACAGGCUUUAAGCCAAGUUCUCAAAAUAUGAGUGUUGGCUUGAGUCUGUAGCUUUCUUGGGGCACGUAGUGUCCAAGGACGGUAUUAUGGUGGACCCAGCCAAGAUUGAGGCUAUUCGUAGUUGGGCCAGGCCUACAUCACUCUUCGAGGUUCGUAGCUUUAUUGGGUUGGCAGGUUACUACAGGCAGUUCAUUAAAGGUUUUUCUUCUAUUGCAUCCCCUAUGACUAGAUUGACCAGAAAGGAUGUUCCGUUUCAGUGGUCUGCAAGUUGUGAGGCGAGCUUUAUGAAGCUUAAGGAAUUACUUACUUUAGCUCCUAUUCUGACUCUUCUUGUUGAGGGCGGGGAUUUUACUGUCUAUUGUGAUGCGUCUGGUGUUGGUGUGGGGUGUGUUCUGAUGCAGCGUGGCCGUGUAAUUGCAUAUGCAUCGAGACAGUUGAAGGUGCAUGAGCGAAACUAUCUCACUCAUGACUUAGAGUUGGCAGCGGUAGUAUUUGCGCUUAGGAUUUGGAGGCAUUACUUGUAUGGGGUUCGCUGUGAGAUAUUUACUGAUCACCGUAGUCUGCAGUAUAUUAUGACCUAGAAGGAGCUUAAUUUGAGGCAGCGUAGGUGGAUUACCUCGUACUUUGCAUGGUUUUGACAGUAUUGGCUUAUUGUGGAUCGAUUGACCAAGUCUGCUCAUUUUAUCCUUGUUCGAGUUUCCUACAGUGCCAAGAGGUUAGCUCGUAGUUAUAUCCAGGAGGUGGUUUGCCUACAUGGGGUCCCUGUGUCCAUUAUCUCUGACCGAGGCUCUCAAUUUACUUCUAGCUUUUGGAGGACAUUUCAGGAGGAGUUGGGAAGCUAGGUUGACCUUAGCACAGCCUUUCAUCCCCAGACGGAUGGACAAUCAGAGUGGACUAUCCAGGUCUUAGAAGAUAUGCUACGCGCUUGUGUGUUGGAUUUUAGAGGUCAGUGGGACCUGUUUCUACCUUUGGCAGAGUUUGCAUAUAAUAAUAGCUUUCACGCGAGUAUUUAGAUGGCCCCAUUUAAGGCAUUGUAUGGUAGGCGAUGUCGAUCUCCUAUUGGUUGGUUCGAGACUUCUGAGGCUAGGCCUCGUGGCACAGAUUUGCUUCAUGAUUCGUUGGAUCGUGUUUGAGUGAUUCAGGACAGGCUACGAGCAGCUCAGAGCAGACAGAGGUGUUAUGCUGAUCGCAGACGUCGUCUAUUGAGUUUUAGAGUUGGUGAUAAGGUCUUCUUACGAGUAUCGCCCAUGAAGGGUGUGAUGAGGUUUGGAAGAAGGGGCAAGCUUAGCCCUAGAUAUAUCAAACCUUUUGAGAUCCUACAGAGAGUUGGGGAAAUAGCUUCUGUAUUGGCAUUGCCACCUGCCUUCUUAGCCAUUCACCCGAUGUUUCAUGUAUCUAUGUUACGACAGUAUAUUCCAGAUGAGUCACGUGUACUUCAGUAGGACUCGGUUCAGUUGGACGAUGAAUUGGCAUUUGUAGAGGAGCCAAUAUCUAUUUUGGCGAGGGACGUCAGGCGGUUGCGUUCCAGGGACAUUCCGAUAGUCAAGGUUCAGUAGCGUCACCGUCCAGUUAAGGGGGCUACAUGGGAGAUCGAGAGUGAUAUACGCGCCCAGUAUUCCUACCUGUUUGACCCUUCAGGUAUUUCCUUAUCUUUUACUUUCGCAAACAAAAGUCCUUUUAGUAGUGGAUACUGUAAUGACCCUUACGAUCAUUUUACUGUAUUUUCAUAUAAUUGUAGUACUAUCUAUAUAUAUAUAUAUAUCGUGGAUUAUUUAAUUUAAUUUGGCAUUUUGUAAAAAUAUAACUUAGUACCCUUCUAAAAUAUUUUCGAUAUUUGUAAAAUUUUUUAAGUCACGAGAUAUUUAUCUCACUUUAUAAUAGACUUUUAUAAUUUGUUAAUAUUGUAAGUGGAGAUAGUAAUUUUAAAAAAAUGUUAAAAUACUAUUAUUAUAUAAUAGAGGUUUUGUUAGAAAUAAUUUUCUAUUAAUUAUGAUAUAUUCAAAAUAUUAUAAUUAUUUUACCAUAAAUUUAUACAAUACCCGAUUAUGUACACAAUGUAGGAAAAAUAAGGCAACCGUUUACGUGGAAAUGAAUGGGUGGACCACUUUUGUAAUCAUCCAAUUUAAUUGCCAUGUGUUACUCCUAAUGUCAGCAUUUCAAUAUUUAAUCAAUCAAUGAAUAAGACAUAAUGGUCCCUCUCUCUUUAUUAUAUAUAUAUUUGGGCUUUCCAUUUUUGGAGAGAGAUUUAGAAAGCAAAGUGUAUGUUACUACCAGUUCCCUUUCGCCUUUUUUUUUUAUGUGCUCAACACACAGCUAUAAUAUUUUUCUAAAAGAAGUUUUGGCGGAUGGACUUGUUCUUUUAAUCAAUUAUCUUCUGCAAGUAAUUUGAGAUUGGGUUUUUCGGAGGCUUUUUGGAAGAAUUAUAGCUUUGGCGUUCAGGUAGACUAGGUUUACCUUAUUUUCAGAUUGAGCUUACUUACUGAAAAUCUUAACUAUUAUGUUAGCUUUGGAUAAAUCCUUGUAGAUGCGUAUUUUUGAUACAUAUAAACUAUCUUAUUUAUUCGGAUUAGGGCCCUGUUUUAAUAAAUUUUUGAAAAACUUAUCUCUUAAUAUAAUGUAACAUGUAUCACUUUGGGACGUAAUAUAUAUAUAUAUAUAUAUAUAUAUAUUGCUUCUCUUCAUCAUCCUCCAAUAUACCUUUAGAAAUAGUUAUAUGAAACAUGUAUGCAUAUAUAAUUAUUUGAAAAGCAUAUAUGUAUAAGAGUAUAUAUUAAGCAUAUGAUAAUAUAGAUAUAUAGUAUAUUUAUUAAAUUACAAAACCUUGAAUUUAUUCCUUUUUAAGAUUAAAGGAUGAUUGUUUAGACAUUGACAAUGUUAUGAUAUGGUAUGAAUUUUAUUAUUUUUGGUGAUUAUGGUUACUAUGAGUUCCGGUUCGAGUCCGGCAAAUGAUUAUUAUGGUUACUAUGAGUUUCGGUUCGAGUCCGGCAAAUUAUUAUUAUGGUUACUGUGAGUUCCAGUUCGAGUCCGGUAAAUGAUUAUUAUGGUUACUAUGAGUUUCGGUUCGAGUCCGGCAUCUGAUUAUGAGUUCUAUACAUCUGGCCUCUCGUUAUUACCCAUUGGUGCCGGUUCAAGUCCGGUGCACAUCUGGAAAACUAUGAUGAUUUAUGGUGAUCAAUGCAGUUAUAGACUAUUUAUGUUUAUUUUUAUUACUUGUGUGUCCCACCGGCUUAUGGGGGAUACGGAUGGGUUAAUUGUCUUCUUUAGUGUGCCUAGCGGGCUUAUGGGAGUCCAGUUAGGUUAUGUAGUGUGCCUAGCGGGCUUAUGGGGGCCCAGCUAGGUUAUGUUUGAUUUAUCUAUUAUUACUGCAUUAUUAUUUUUUGGUAUCGCAUAAGUUUAUUCCUUUACAGCCAUUGCAUAGCUUGGUAGCUGUUUACCUUUCCAUUCCUAUCUACUAAUGACUCAGAUUACGCCCUCGCAUUGUAGUUAUACCUUUUCUGUAUUACGCUCAGUCGGGCGAUGAUGCCUACUGAGUACCCGUAAGUUUUGGUACUCAUACUACACUUCUGCAUCUUUUUCUGAUGCAGCUCAGGGUAAUAGCAGUCGACGUUAACGUGGUUCCUACCUUCCAUCAUUGAUUUAGAGCAGGGUGAUCUUAUUGUCGUCUGAGGCUGAUCCUCUUCUAUCUAUUCCAGUUAGUCUUUUGUUCUCGAGACUGCUUGUGUAUAUUGUGUACAUUUUAUAUUUUUGUCUAGUACUCUAGGUACCUUUUAGUAAUGGCUCUAGUACUGACCUUAUCAGGUCUUGGGAGGGAUUCAUUGUAAGUUGAUCCUUUUUCCUCAUCUCGUUUUGAUAUAAUAUAUAUGCUCCUUUCUUAGUUUUUACUUAUUAUUAUUAUACAUAAUCCUUUAUUUGGUCUCUGCCUGUUAGCCCGUUACUUAUAAUUUCGGACUAUGGCUUGACUUGCCUACUUGUGGGUUAAAGUAGGCGCCAUCAUUACUUGAGAAAUCGGGUUGUGAUAGAAUAAGAUUCAUAUUUUCACAUUUUUUCUAGUUUUGAACUGUGUAAUUGGAUUGGACACUAUAUUUUGGAUUUGUUUUGUUUUGUAUGUUUGAUUGAUCGUUUUAUGUGUUUUUUAUGUGAUUUAUACAUUUGUAAUGUCAAAUUAGCCGAUACGCUCAACUAAGCGAUCUUGGUUGAAUCACGGGAUCGAGGAGUGCCUAACUCCUUCUCCUCGUUCAACAGAAUUCCUUAACCGGAAUCUCUGUUUGCAGAUCAGUUUUUAGAGUCAAAUUAUUUUGAAAAGGAUCUUUCAAAGGUGACUUGGCACACUGGAUUAUGUCAAGUUGUGACUCUGAAUAAAAAAUGUAAAUAAUUCUUUUUUCAAAAUAAAUUUUUAAUCUUUUGUCACUUUAAUAAUAAAAACUCUUUUGAACUUAAAAGAUAUCCUUUCGGGUAAAAAACGGAUGUGACAGCGAUAAAACUGUUCUCAUAACUGCUAGGCAAAACUCCUUCAAACAGGCCUAAUUAAGGCUCAUAAUUGAAUUACUAAACUCUUGUUAAGUAUUUUAUCCUUAUUAGAGACAGUACCUAAUAUCAUGAUUAAUGUAGUAAUCCAUGUUUAUGUAUUACUACUUACUAGGGAGAAGCACAAAAAAAAUGUAACUCCUGUCUAUGUAUUACGAACAUCAUCAACAUCUAUUGUUCUGAAUAUGAUGAAGCUGGCUUUUUUGGAAUUUGAUUUCUUUUAUGGUCACUCAACUAAUAAUUUUUAUCUCAGGAAUCAGGAUAUCACUCACUUAAUUUUGUAGUGCAAAAGUUAAGAAGAUGUUUGACCAUGAGAAUUUUUCACUUUUUUUUGGAGUUCAAUUUCGGAAAAUAUGUUUGACCAUAAAUUUCCGAAAAAUUCUGCUUUCACUUUAUUUAAAAAUUCCAAGAACAACAAAAAGUCGUUUUCACGUCAAGUUACUCAUCAAAAUUCAAAAACAACUCUAAUUUAUUUCAUGACCAAACAUUUCUCCAAUUUCCAAAAAAUCAUUUUUCAUGUUUGAAAACAACAACAAUUUUUUUCUAUUUUCACUGGGAAACUUGGCCAAACACCUACUUAUCUCAAAAACUCACUCAACUUUAUUUUGUCUAAAGUGGCCUUUAUAUCUAAACUAGACAUUCAAUUUCGUGCUAGCACAAGUUCAAUAUAUGCUAUUUUUUUCAUCCCAAUUUUGUAAUGUUAAUAGAAUCUAGAGAAUUAUUUUAAGUUAUUAAUUGUUGUAAUUUAUAUGUAAUACUUUAUACAUCAUUUUUCCAAACUAAUUGUGGAAUUUAAAAAAUUCUGCCAAACUAAUUGGAUAUACCUAAUCUUUUAAAAUAGAAGUUAGGCAAAAAAAUAAAAAUACAAUAAUAAGGUCCUUAAUAUAUCUCAAUGUGUAGAAGACUCCCUAGACCCUUUUUUUCAAUUAUAUCACUGUAUAUUUUCCAUACAAAUACAUUUAUACACAAGUAUAGAGUGCCUUUAAUAAAACAUUCAAAACUUUAAGUAGAAAUGUCCAAAUGACAAGCGGAGUUGAAAGCUACAAAUAAUGUCUGUAUAUUUACAAAUAAUUACAAGGUAUUAUACUAAUAAUUACAAGGUGUUACCUUAUUUUUUUUUAUGUUUUGAAAUAGAAAAAUCACUUGCGAUUACAAUUACAAAGUCACUCAACCAAUUAUAUUCAAGUGAUAUUUGUGAUAGAUAUAUUGCCUCAUGAAGAAAUUUCUAAAAGCUAAAUUUUUAAUAAAUAAAAAUCUACCCAUUUGAAUUAACUACUAAAUUAACCUGCUCUACUGAUCGAAUUACUUAAAUUUAAUGAAUUUUAUAUAUAGUGUAAGAGGACCCUUUGAGAGAUUUAUGUAACUAUACAAUCUUAAAAAUCACAUUACAAAUUUUUAUCAUUAUUUUCAAAAUCUGAAGUUAAACAAAUUUGCUUUUUCGUCUAAUUGAUCAAUUCAUAAGACAUUAUUAUAUAAUGUAACAUUAUUAAGUAUAAGACAUUAUUUUAUUUAUAUUCUAUUGUCAUUUUUUAAGUCAACAAAUAUAUAAUAAUUAUAUGGGCAAUGUAGAUUAAUUAGAAUAUCUAAUCAAUUAUCUUAAAUAAAAAUACAAAAAAAUAAAAAUAAAAUCAACGUAUGUUUUAAAAGGGAAUAAAUAUUAGAUCCUGGAUUUAAUGGGGCCUCAUUUAGUUAAUUAAUUUGCAAAAUUUUAUAUUAUGCUAAAAUUGUUAUAAAAUAUGUUAUUUAUGAAACAUUGCAAAAAUUAUGUGUAACACCCCGUACUUUCGGGCUAGAAUUUAGACCGUCGUUCCUAUGCGUAUAGAUCCGAACUAAAUGAUUCCAUGUUAAUAUAUGUGUAGUGAUCACUCCUAUAGUGUGGGAAAACCUUUGAAUAUGAAUUGAAGUCACAAAAAUCCCCUAACUCAAAGACGAAUUAAAAACUUUUCUAUCAAUAAAUUUUAGUGAACGUUUCAACGUGGGUCAAUAUCCAUCGACUAUUACUCCUAGAAUAUGAUGAUUUAGAGGACCUACUAUAUAUUGAAUGAAUGGUCUUCGAGGUAGCUUUCCAACGAUACCAAUUUCGCCUCAAUCCGACACCCGAGAUAAAAGUUAUGACUUUGCAAAGAGGAGUGUGUCGCCUAAGGCUAUUGGAAUUGUUGCGCCAUAGGCAAUGCGACGCCCAACCUAUUUUGGGCGAUGGGCAAUGCACGACACAACCUAGCUUAGGAUAUAGGCAAUUUGUCGCAUGCCCUAUGGCCCAACGACGUAAAUACUUCAUUUUUAAGUCAUUUUAAGGGAAAUCAAGUCUUUUUACAAUCCAAAAUUGUCCCUAAUUCAUCUUCCAAGAACACCAUAAGAGAAAAACAACUUAGGGCUAAACAUUCAAGCUCAAGGGAUCAACUUUUCUGUGAAUUCUUCAUCGAUUAAGGUAAGUACGGCUGUCCUAAAAACUCUAUGGGUAUAAGUUAUAUUUUAGCAAUCUUUAGAAAGUAUGUUAUGAUAUUUAUAACAAGGGUUUGAACAAUUUUUUUGAAUAUCUAAAUCAUGAAACCCUUUUCAAUGAUAGACGUAUUGUUUUGGUCUUGAUGCCUCCCCUUAAAAUUGAUUUUUACUCUUGUAUAUGUAAGUAUGCGUUUUGAGUUUUGCAAAGAUUAAAUUGAGAGCAUGAAUGACGAAACCCCUCUCUUGUUAAAAUAACUCUAGAUUUCACAUAUGAUGGGUUGUUCAAUUACAUAUUUUGAAGCGUGAGAUAAGUGUUUUACUAUUGUUUUGAACUUGAUAUUUAUUAUGAAUUGAAGAGAAGAUGUUUUAUUAUUUAUAAAUAUUUAAUGUGAUAAUUGAAAGAGAUUGCAUGAUUUGUAACGUGAUACUUGACCAUCACGUGUUUGUGAAUUGAAAUUGAGGAUCUUUGCCUAAGUUUUUAUGAGUUUCACUAUACGCAUCCUCAUGUAUGGUUUGAAUGGUUUGGUCAUCUGAACACAAGUUUUUGAAAGAGAAUACUUAACAUGAUUAUGUAUGACUUAGAGAUACGACUUGCAAGUCUUGGUAUGACGAUACUAAAUAGAUGAAUGCCAUAGCAGACUCAGAACAAACUAAAAUACAAUACAAAUUUUACUUAGAUUUUUAGAAUUUGAUUUAAGAAAGAUACAUGUUUAGAACAAACUAAAAAUGGUCUUAAAGAGAGUUAGGUGGUUACCCGAAGAAAUUACGAGUUGAAAGACUCAAUGCUAGAAACCGUGAUUUGCCGACACGGGGUUAUGGUACUAUGCUUUGUGAUCUUGUGUACCUUGAUUCAUGUCAUUCCAAAUUGGUACUAUUGUUAGGAGCCCUUCUUUUUAAUCUUGUGCACUACCAAGACAUGUUGAUUUGAUUAGAGAUUUUGGCACCCUGCUGUGUGAUCUUGUGUAUCCCCCUUAUUGAUACUCCAAUCCUGGAGGCAAACUUGGAUUGGGAGAUUAGCCAUCGAGUCAAGGGUGGAUUCUAUAUAGCCCGUGGAAUUACAGAAUGUAGGGUGUACCACCUAGCUCAGAAGUAUGACAAAGAAUGAGUUAUGAUUUCAAAGAAUUGUUCAAAGUCUUUUAAAGUAUGCCCAUGUGUUUUCAUAUUCUUUAUCUAAAAUAUUUUAUGAAUUGCUCUCACUUAUGAUAGAUAUAGAUACAUUAUUUUUUAUUGCCCUACUACUAGUACAUUUGUAUUGACCCCUAUAUUUCAGGAUUGAAGCUCAGUCCCGGGGUUUCGUUAAGCAGUAGAUUGACUUGACAGAAGUUGCAGCUAGUGAGCCUCCCUUACUUUGGAAGUUCUGAUUACAAAACUUGUCAUGGUUAUAUUAUUUUGAUCCAUGGUCCGACUGAGGCCUUGUCCCAGAGUUCAGACAAAUGUUAUUUUUAUUUAGUAAAGAUUUCACAGACCAGAGUCAUGUACUUUGAAUGUUAUAAACUUCAUUUUGUAUUGUCCAGUUGAAUUUAAAAAGUGACAAUGUUUUCGUUUAUUA